This 76755-nucleotide long non-coding RNA is filed under the name Malus domestica (apple). RNAcentral's name for it is "long non-coding RNA (MDOM_LNC005232)". The record is from RNAcentral. Lineage: Eukaryota; Viridiplantae; Streptophyta; Magnoliopsida; Rosales; Rosaceae.
UUUUUUUUUUUUUUUUUUUUUUGCUGUGAUUGCCAAGUCAGCUUGAAAGAGAGCAAUAACCAAAUUAUUCGAAGAUAGGUUCUUUACAUAAUUAGGUUCAUGCAUGUAGCUGAUCUCCUUCUCCAUGCAUAUGGAAAGGGCCUGCUCAUACUCUGUCAGUCAGGAUAUUGUACUGACAUUAAUUUGCAAAAAUAGUGUCUUUAUGUUGUUAACGGUGUCUCCGUUUGGUUGAACACUAUUAUGUGAUAUGCUCCCUCUGUUUGUAAAGCAAAAUAAACUGGUUGGAGUAUCCUCUAAUAGGCUCCUGCAAUCUUUUAAUGUGCUCUUGCAAUCUUUUUAAUUACUCUGUUAUUUCCUUUAGUUAUGGGUAUCUGACAUUCUGUUUUAUUUCUAUAUAUGUUGUUCCAAUGGAAUCAAGUGCCAAAAUUAUAACAAACAUCCUUUAGUCAAGUUGGACACUUUUCCAUAUAAUGUUUGGUUCAGGGAUCCUCGUACAAACAUAAUAUUCUUAUGUAUUUCAAUCAGACUUGACCCUCAUGGUUUAAUAUGUGUAAACUGAAGCUUGGUUCUGUUUCUUCAGUUUCGUAUGGAAAUAGACCACCUGUUUUUUUUGCCUUUCAACAGUUGUGGUUCCAAAAUUAGCAACUUGAACAAGUUCAUAACACUUUCUGUUUCAAAUUACCUGUUGAACUAGUUGCCUACACUGCAGGACACAUAUUAUAUGUGUGAACUAUAUGUUUCUUCUGUUUCUUAAGGAAACAAUUUUUUUUGGAAACCAUCUCUUUCUAAUCAAACACGUACAGUUUCUUCUCACUCAUUCUGCAAUUUGUUUAUAUGCUAACUCACUUAAAUGUGUACAAAAGCAAAAAAAUUUAUCUUACCGGCCUCAUUCAUUCAUGUAUCUCUCUGUUUGUUCGUAAUUGUCUUAAAUUUAUUCAACUUAAAUGUGUUUUAUCCAUCUGAUUAUGUCUGAACCAGCUGGUUCCCGCAGCAACGCGUGAGCGUAAUUUCUAGUGAACAUUAAACAGAAGAGAACACAAUUCUUUUGUGAAAAUGUCUGCAUACUGAUCUGUAGAAGCUACAAAAUGUAACAAAACAGUCCCUUGUUGAACUCUUUCACGUACAAAAUAACAGUCAGUUUCAAUAUGCUUGGCCUUGGAGUGCAAUACUGGAUCCAUUGCUAAUGCCAUGGCAGAAAUGUUAUCACAGUGAAGUAAAGGAGUAUCAGAACUUACAAUGUGUAAGUCCUUGAGUAGCUGUUGAAUCCAAACAAUUUUUGGAGUAGUAUUGCAUUCCUUUUAUGAAUUCUCCCGUUUGCUGAAAAAAGAAGGAAAAUUUGAUCCAUAUACUUGUUUAUAUUUUUUUUCAAAGUUUAAAACCUUUUUGUUGCUGUAAUAUUGUAUGAAGUUAUGAACUAUACCUCAAAUCCAAAGAAAACGUGAAUAAAAACAGUAAAGGCUUGGAAUCUCUCAUAUUUGUGUUCAAUUCUAAGAAGUUAUAUGCACCAACACGAAAUAUAAAUUACGACAUAUCAUUUAUUUCUUGCCUUGAAGAAGUUGUAGUAAAAUCAAGGAACAAAACAACGAGGGAUAGGUGUGCGGAAAUCAUUUCCCGUAUAUUAUCGAGCCUCAAGUACUGAAAUAGUGACUUCAUUAGCUGAGCAUGCUUUAGAAGAAUGACUGGCUUCGAGUUCAGUCAAAUCCCUUUCACUAUAAAACCCAGGUUUCAAAGGUUGAGGCAAUGCACCUUCACCACUCAACAUUAGAACUGCAGCUGACAUGCUCGGCCUGUCCUCUGGAUUCCGCUGCACGCACAAAAGACCCACAUGAAUUGUUCUUACAACUUCAAACAGAGUGAUGGAGUCCUCUACCGAUGUAUCAAGUAGUUCGAGAGGCCUGCCUUCUGUGUGUAGCAUCCAUGCCUAAAACACAAAAACUAGUCUACUUAGUAGAAGUAGCAGAGUUGAGUGAUAAGAAUUUUAACUUGACAUUUGAUGCUGUCACGCUCACAUGUCCAAGAAGGUUGAGUUUGUGGUCUGGAUGAGAGAAUCCUCUAUUUUUGCUCCCACUCACUAUCUCUAGCACCAGAACACCAAAGCUAUAGACGUCGGACUUUAUAGAGUAGAAACCAUCAAUUGCAUAUUCUGGGGACAUGUAACCGCUGCAAACCAAUGUGUCAGAAAAACAUUUUUAUACGCAAAGAAUCUAGUCUUUCUGUUAAUGUUUUCAAAAAAUCUUAAAAAACAGUCAUACAAUUGUGUUUUAGGAUACUUACUAUGUUCCAACCACUUUCUUCGUCUCUGCUUUCGUUUCAUUUCCUCCGAAGCUUCUAGCCAAGCCAAAGUCUGAGAUUUUCGGGUUAAAUUCACGGCCUAAUAAAAUGUUACUUGCUUUGAGAUCUCUAUGAAUAACUCUCAAUCUAGAAUCUUGAUGAAGAUAGAGGAGCCCUCGAGCUAUCCCAUUAAUAAUUUCAAAGCGCUUCGGCCAGUCUAAUAACAUCCUUCUUCUUUGAUCUGCAAAAUAUCAUAAUUCACAAUUGUCAAAAAAUACAUCGUGCUAGGCUGCUAGCAUAAGCGAACUAAUCGAACUAAAUGCAAGGUUUUUGAGUAGUCAAACCGAAAAUAAAAAAGUCUAAGCUCUUGUUAGGCAUGAACUCGUAGAUCAGUAUCAUCUCGUCUUCUUGAAUGCAGCAUCCAAGAAGCUUCACUAGAUUCCUAUGUUGAAGUUUGGCAAUAUGUGUAACUUCAUUCUUGAACUCGUCGAGUCCUUGUCUAGAACUUUUUGAAAGCCUUUUCACAGCGAUUUCUUGUCCAUCUUCCAUCGUACCCUGAAAUCCAACAGCAUAUGUUAUGACCAAAAUUCAUGCUUUGUGGUUUGCACACUACUUGUAUCCAUCAUUCCAUAUUUUGACCACAAGUACAUGUAACUAUACAACUUCUACAACUUCAAAACUAUGAAGGACUCUCUGGUUUUACCUUAAAGACAGAUCCAAAACCGCCUUCACCAAGUUUGUUUUCAAUUGAAAAGUUACCGGUUGCAGAAACUAUAGUCAUCAAGUCAAAUAACGGUAAUUCCAAAUCCUCCUUUUGGUUGUGUCCCAGUUUUCCUGUAAAGACACAGUGACGGGUGAAAAAAACUCCCUAUACUACUGAACUAUGUAGUUUGGAAAGCAGAGGGGCAAAAUAGUACGGCCAACUUACCAACUUUUUGGUGCUGCUUCUUCCAAACAAAAAACAGCAGGGCAAGGCCCAAGAGCAGCAGUCCGGUAGACAACACAGUAGUGCUUAUUAUGAUUUUCAUUUUCUUUGCAUUGGAUUCAGAGUAUUUAGCGUUGAUCUUUGCAUCAUCUUCAUAAUCUACAAAUGAUAUUUUGAAGACAGAAAAUCUAUGAGUCGGAAAGUAAUAAACAAAAAAAAUAAAAACUGUAUAAUUUCUAUCAUCCAACUAAUAGUUUCUAGUUUGUGAGACAAUUCUAAAAGAGGAUAUUGCUUAUGGUGUCAAAAUUCGAAGUUAUAACUAUUAGAAUUAGUAUAAUGUUUCACUUCGUUAUGUCUUGACUUUGUUUCGAGCAUAUGAUUAUGAAUUUAUGACUGAAUGCAAAGUCACCAACAGGUGUUUUUUACAUACCUAGUUCUGCUGCGGCCAUUCUUAUAUAAAUAUCUUGCCCGUUUUCGGAAUAGUAUCUUAUAUCAAUCAGACCGCCGUACCACAGCAAGCACCCAGUUCCUCCAUCCCGAAUAUCCAAAUUUGUAUAAGCCGUGCAGGAGCAGUUCUUCAUGCACACCAUCUGGCAUUCCUUGAGGUUCAUACUUCUGUUAAACCAGGAUUGUUCUGUGCUAGGCAAUUUCAAACCCGAGUACUUUUGGAACACGUCUCCGGUGCAAUUUAGAGAAGUCUUUCUCACACAACCAUCAGACCAAUCUACCAAAUCCCAUUCUUUCGGAAACUUUGGUGUAAAUCCUUUCAAACAGCUACAAACCGGGGACUUUUCAAUGUUACAUGCACCAUAUACACCACAGAAUGCAUAGUUGUCACAGUUAUCAAUCUGGGCUGUUAGGUAAAGAAACCAAUCUUUGGUUCUAUCAAUCCAUGUGUAGCGCUGCACAAGUCCAUCUGAAGUUAACACCACCCUCGAAAAGAUUGAGCUGUUGUGAAGCUUGUAACUGUAGUACAUUUUAUCCGGCUCAGAAACAAAACCGUAUGUGUAUAUUGGGUUUGGAUUUAAAUGAGGCGUUCCACUGAACCGGACUCCAUUCCAUGGUCCAGUCCGAAAUUUUAUGACCGAACCGUUGCUCACAAAUAUUUCUUGAUAUCCUUUGGGACCAAGUUGAUAUGUAUAAUUGCCUUGAGAAGGAUCCUGAGGACUUUUCCAUGAUCUAAGAUGGCAAUUGAAGCCUGUAACUGUGUUCCUACCAAUCUCCAUUCCUGGUAAGAAUGUAUCGCCAGGGUAAUCAAAACUUUGCCACAGAAAGUUCUCAGAGUCAUCAUCACUACUAUCUAUCACGACAAGAUUACCCGAAUCCAAAAGGCGUGCCACUGGAUUCUGUGCAGUUCUCGAUGUGUUGGAGGACCAAACUGUGCUCAUGUUGUGGUUGAGGACAAGAAUUCCGGGGCUGGUGACCUUCAAAACGCCGGACAAAUCAGCGAGGGGCUUGUCUCUGUUGGCAAUCCAUACAAUGGUUGUAACAGAUAUCUGCUUGUACCAUAUCGCCACGUACCGUCUAUUAGAAGCAUCAGGAUACUUGUAAAAUCCUAGCUCAAACGUACCGCCAGUGGAAACUACAGUCUCACCGUCUCUAAUGGACUGAAAUGUACUUGUGGCGUCAUCAGCUGUGGAGAAUACUGCUGCGACGAUGAGCAGCAAAGAAGAGUAGAAAAGAAGCAAGCACAUCUUAGCCGAAGCUUUUGACGGAUUUUUCGUAAUGUGAUUUGAAUGUUUGUCUGUCAUUUGGACACCUUAUUGAAAUAACAUUGAUACCAUUUCGUGCAAGCAACCAAUCAUUUUCAAGUUCAAAAUUGUUGAAUAGUCGGGUGCGUGGGAAGACAAAUUGUUCUCCAAAGUGUGAAACUGAGAAAGUUGUCUUCAAUCCGAAGUAGACUUCGCAUUCAGUUAAGAAUGAUGUUGUCGUAGCCGGAUAUUUCACUAUGACAACUAAGACGUUUUCAUCCAGUAGAAAAUAUCCGAAUUAAUAUGUGGUCAUAUACAGUUCCCUCGGCUCAAAGGAAACUUAAAUGUCUGAUUGGUGUACUCUUUCGCAUUAGUCUUGUAUUCGAUAUCGUUUUCUUUCCUUUUCAAUUCUUGUAAUUCAAGAUUAAUCCCAAUCUAGAAAGUUUGAAUAAGAGCGUCUUCGGUGGGCGAUAAUAUUCCCUAUAACUGGUUGUAUGCUCAUUGUGUCUAUCUCCCAAAUCACGUUAAUUUUUUUCAUUUCAAAGUCAAUAUGUUACACAUGUAAUGGAUUAAUUUGGUACCCUGUCAUUUUCUCUAGUUAUAUUUUGGCGGGACUUGUUCAGAAUGAUUCCAGGACGACUGACUUCUAUUUCUUAUGCCGCUGUAUCUACCAUUCCCUGCGGAUUUUCUUGGUUGCUGAUUCUUGGUUGCUGAUUAAGUUGUGCACAAAAGAAAAAAACCAUUAGCUCAUACCAUACUGCAGUAAACAUUAGGAAAUACAGUGAACAAUCUGUUGAAUCCAAAUCACAGUAAUUCGAAUGUACUAUCUACUCAAAUUGAAUUCCUCUCCAAUCGAGUCGCCGUUGAUAUCAGAGCAAAGCAUAUGUAAAGCAAGAAAAUGUAUAAGCAGGAUUACCCGAGAAAUAUCUGAUCAACUUAACUCACUUCAAUAGACAUCAGAUCAAGUUAUGAUGAAAUAAACAGCAACAUGAAAUAUGAACUAUCGAGCCUCGAGUAGGGUAAAUGUGUCUUCAUUAGCUGAAAAAGUUGUAACCUUGUUUGCACAAGGAUCGACUUUGUUGUCAUCUAGAUCCCUUUCACUAUAAAAACCAGGUUUUUCAAGUUCAGGCAAUGCACUUUCACCACUCAACAUCAGAACUGCAGCUGGCAUGCUUGGCAUUUAUGCCGGAUUUCACUGCACGCAUAAAAGACCCACAUGGAUUGACCGCAAAACUUCAUGUGGAUUACUGGAGUCUCCUACUCAUGUAUCGAGCAUUUCAAUGGACUUGCCUUCUGUGUAUAAAUUCCAUGCCUAAAAGAUCACAACCACCAAUCGUACUGAAUAAAUAGAAGUAUAGAGAAUCAAGUAAAAACAAAUAAUAAUGCUAGACAAACCACAUUUUAGAUCUUAAGUGGAAUCGAAUCCAUUUUUUACAUGAAUUGUCGUCACCAGUUGUUAAUAGAGAAGUCACUGUCACAGUAGUACUUCAUUAGCUGAUGCAGUCAGAAUAUAGUCCCUCUAGUAUUAUUCGACGAAAAAUGAUCAACUUGACGGCUGACACUUACAUGUCCAUGCAGGUUGAGGCUGUGGUCUGGAUGAGAAAAUCCUCCGUUUCUUUUCCCUUCACUAUCUCAAGCACCAUAACACCAAAGCUAUACAUGUCAGAUUUUAUCAAGUAGAACCCAUCGAUCGCAUAUUCUGGGGACAUGUAACCACUGCAAAACAAUGUGUCAAAACCUACACUUUACAAGCAAGGUAUAUAGAAUGUCUGAUUGUACUUUUACAUUUCUUACUAUGUUCCAACCACUUUAUUUGUCGCUGCUGUAGUUUCAUUUCCUCCAAAACUUCUUGCCAGGCCAAAGUCUGAAAUUUUGGGGUUAAAUUCACCGUCUAAUAGAAUGUUGCCGGCUUUGAGAUCUUGAUGAAUUACUCAGAGUCUAGAAUCUUGAUGAAGAUAGAGGAGCUCCUGAGCAAUCCCAUCAAUAAUGUCAAAACGCUUAGGCCAAUCUAUAAGAUGCAGCAUCCUAGAAGCCUCACUAGAUUCCAGCGCUGAAGUUUGGCAAUAUGUGUAACCUCAUUCUUUAACCGGUUGAGUCCUUGCCUCGAAUGUUUCGAUAGACUUUUCACAGCUAUUUCUUGUCCAUCCAUCAGUGUACCCUGAAAUUCAUCAGCACGUAUCAUGAUCAAAAUUCAUACUACUAGCUAACUGUAUCUGUUACUCCUCCUAAAGUGACAUGCUCAAAUGUCAAGCUAAUUGUCGUGCGGACUGUGAUUUCACCUUAUAGACAGAUCCAAAGCCACCUUCCUCAACUUUAUUGUGGUUUGAAAAAUCAUUGGUAGCACAAAUCACAGUGCCCAAGUCAAAUAAUGGUAACUCCAGAUCUUCCCUUUGGUCCGAUCUCGGUUUUCCUGCAAAGCACAUAGUGAAGUAAAUCGUGUACCAUGGAACUGAACUUAGAAAACGGAGGGGUAGAAGAGUAGAAACUCAAAUAGCUUACCAUCUUGUUGGUGCUUCUUCUUCUGAAAACGUAAGAGGAGGGCUAGGCCCAGGAUUAAAAGUCCAGCAGACAACACAGUACUGGUUACUACGAUUCUCGUUUUCUUCACUUUGGAUUUUGCAUUGUCUGCUUGAAGUGGUAAUGAAGUAUUUGAAAGAAGAAAAUUAAUAAGGAAUUAUAAAGAAGAAUAAACACCACCAUACCUGGUUCAGAUGCAGCCAAUCUUAUGUAUAUAUCUUGCCCAUUUCCAUUGAAAGUUCUUGAGCAGCCACUUCCUCCUGCCCUGAUAUCCAAAUUUGCAAAAGCUGUGCAGGAGCAGUUUUCAGUGGAGUCAUUCUCAUACAGGCAUAUGUUGCACCCCGAAAGGCCCAUUUUUGUUGAAAAUUUGGUCUAAAUCCUUCCAAGCAACCACAUAGCGGGGAGUUAUCAAUAUUACACGCACCAUUUGGCCCACAUAUUCCAUAGUUGUCACAUGUAUCAGCCGGUGUUCCUAGUAAAACUUCCCAAACUUGGGCUCUAUUAAUCCAGUUGUAGCUCCUCACACUCUCGUCUUGUGUCAACACGGGAAAUGCCCAAUUCUCAAAUAAAAUUGCUUAAAGUUCUGCAAAAUGAAGACUACAUGUUACAGCAUCGACCAGAAACACUCGUCCAAACACUAAACCAACCUUGCAACCAUAUUUCUUCCAAGUAUAUUGUCCAAACGGGGUAGUCUUUGCUCAUACAGAAGAUUGAAAAUCCUUAAACACACUCGAUGCAGCGACGAACGAUUACUGUCUCCAUUAAGAUUUAUGCAACUGUUAAAAUGUUGGGAUUGUUUCAAAAAUUGCAUUACUUUUCUCCGCAAUUUACAAACAAGCAAAUCAUAAGUGACAAGAGCCCAUAAGACCAAUUGGCAACAAUUUGCAAUCCAGAUUUUUAGCUUCAUUUAUUGUUACCCAUCAACUAACUCAAUUCAAAAAGUGGAAAAAAAAACUGGAACAAUUUGUCCCAGACCCUGCGUAAAGCGGGAGCCUUGUGCACUGGGUACGACCUACGACGACUUCCAUCUAAUAAAUAUAGAAAUGGUUCAAGAACACGGGCAAUGCCCAAUUCUCAAAACAAACACAGAAAUAGAGAGAGAGAAAGAGAGAGAGAGAGAGAGAGAGAGAGAACUGACCUUUAUUGGUAGAAAAUGUUGCAGAAGCCAGCCAACCCAGAAGAAAGUUAAUUCAGGGGAAGAUUAUCGUCACCAGAUGUUAAUAGAGAAGUCACUGUCACACACUGUAUAUCAUUAGCUAAUGCAGUCAGAAUAUAGUCCCUCUAGCAUAAUUCGACGAAAAAUUAUCAACUUGACAGCUAGCACUUACAUGUCUUAGCAGGUUGAGGCUGUGGCCUGGAUGAGAAAAUCCUUUGUUUCUCUUCCCAUUCACUAUCCGAAAGCUGUGCUGCUGGAUUCGACGCAGAUGUUGGUGUGUUCGAGGACCAAACGCUUGUCUUGUUAGUAUCAACAAGGACAAGAAUUCCAGGGAUGGUGACCGUGAGUAGACCUGAUGAAUCAGUGGUGUGUCUCGGUUGGCUACCCAUACGAACUUUUUUACUUGAUUGCUAGAAUGGGACUUACAAUUACAAUUAACCGAGUGUUGACUGGCCAGCAUGUCCAGGUUCGGUUAGACUUAACUCCAUAUCAUGAGUAGCUGUCCAACCAAGUUCAUAGGCUUCAAGGAAACCGAUCUUUGCCUUGUCGGGGAGAUCAUGGGAAUGAACAAAUGGCACCUCGUUUGGCCACCCAAUCUCCAUUCUUAUAUUGGCACAGGGGCUAUCAAGUGUCUGAAUGUGAUUCUCACACUUCUUCAGGUUGCAGAACCUCAGCUUGAUUCCCUUCUUGUCUGCAAUGUCUUGAACCCUUUCCUGGACUCUCUGGGCCUCGACCCACAAUCUCUUGGAAGGUGGCAGAGGUUUGGUUCUUUCACUCUUUCUCCUCCUCAACAAAGGCUUCAUAGAUCCUGUACCAGCAUUUCAUCGAUCCAAGGACCUGCUGUUAAAAGCUUCUCACAUAAGAGAUACACAUAAACACGUGCAAUCCAAUAUCAAGAGGACUCAAGAGACGGAUAUAAUUUUUAGAAGAUAAAACUAGAUUGAGGAUCCUUGUUACGACAGCAGAAAUGCGAAAACUAUUAAGUAGUUGAUGAUUACUAUCAAUAGAGUUGGACUUAAUUUAGCUUAUACAUUGAACUUAUUUUUGGUGUGUGCAUGUGCUUCAGUCAGUAAGACCAAUCCUAAUUAAAGUAAGCUGUCAUUAAAAAAAUUGCAUUCAUGAAAUCAAUUUACAGUAUGUAACAAGCAGGCAAUUGGUAAAGAAGAUUAAAUGCAGCAUACCAUCUUGUGCUGCAUGGAAAUUGGAACUUUGGAAAACUGUGUCUGUUAAAGAGUUGAUUGGUGGGGUGAGAUCUCUGCAUAAAGUCAUCAACCGCUACUGGAAGCUGGAACUGAGCUUCAACCCCAUGACCAGCAGCUCUCAUCUCUGAACAACUAAGAUUGGUCAUGGAUUUAGGCAUGAAUUUAAAAAGCCACAAGAAAUCGCCCAAACAAGUUGCUCUGUGUAUUAGCAGUCUCCAUUCUCUGCAGUGCAGGGUUAACAUAUCCUGCAGUUGCCUGAUAGAGUGUGAGUCCAGGGUAAACAAUAGCUUCUUGAGGACCAAGAUCUUCGUCCACAAGAACCCAACGACCCUGAAAGUCCUUUAUGUGUAGACCAGCCUUGCCUGACUUGACAAGAGAUAUCAAGCUUUUGUCAACUUGAUGCUCAUGGUCAGAAAACAUAACCAACUGGCCAUCCUCUUGGGUCGUAAAACUAUGGUGUUGUGUAACCUGAAAUGAUGGCCUUGCAUGACAACAGACAGAUAAUACUGAAGAAGAUAUUUACCUGUUUCUUAAGGGAACAUUAUCAAGUACGUCAGUAAAUGGUGAGCUCCUCAAGUUCAAAUAGAAGCUGAUAGCGUGCAAUAUAUCUCGAGCUGCCAUUGCAAGCAGUGAAAAUAUAUCUGGUAAAGCUGCUGGAGGAAAUUCCAUUGUGUUGUCGGGCUCUAAAGGAGUGAAUCCAGGUCUGUAAUCAUAGGUUUCUAGCCACAAUUGAGGAUCUGCAUUAUAAUCGGAAGUCUUGCACCAGUCACGGGGAUCAUUGUUAUUAACCAUAUCUGCAGCUGGGUAUGAUGCUUUCUGGUGGAAGUAGAGGCGAGCCGAAUCUAAACCCGACCUCAAAAGAGCCCCAUCACUCACUGGAAAACUGAAUGAUGGCAGCAGAAUAGAGUGCUAGUGAUUGUGACAAAGUCGAAACAGAUAGUUUGUAAGAAUCUGAUGGAAGGCCUUCACCAGGUGCCAGAUCAGUUAGCUUCACACGACCUAGAGAUGGCAGGCCAUUACUUGCCAUGAAACCCUUUGGGUAUACUUGCUACCUAAUUUUGAAGAGAGGCACAGGUUACACUGACAAACUCAAAAUUAAAAACUGAAACAGCAUAAUCAUUCAUCAAUCAGAAUCUCUCUCUUUUUUUCUUAUGAGAAUUUAGGAACUCCUUGACCCCUAAGUUGAAGCCACAAAACUGAACCAUCUACGUACUGCAAGAAGAAAGUAUAUGAAGCAUAAAUAUAUACGUACAAAUACAUGUGUGUACAUUAUGAACAUUUUAUAUUGAAAAAGUGCUCUCCUAAGGUCCUUAAAAAGUCAAGCUGCUCAACUAUUGAUCGUCUAUGUACGCUAGAAAUGCAAGAUCUAUGAUACGUUGCAUGCCGAGGGGACAUUUGACCUAUGUAUAGAUAAAGUUAGAAGCUAAGUUUUUCCAAUUACUAGUAUGAGCAACAACAACAACAACAACAACAACAACAAAGCCUUUCCCACUAAGUGGGUCGGCUAUAUGAAUCCUUAGACGCCAUUGCGCUCGGUUUUGUGUCAUGUCCUCGUUAGAUCCAAGUACUCUAAGUCUUUUCUUAGGUCUCUCAAAGUUUUCCUAGGUCUUCCUCUACCCCUUCGACCCUGAACCUGUCCCGUAGUCUCUCCUACUUACUCGGAUAUCCUCAUUCCCAAUUAUCCUUUCUCGUUGCCACACAUCACGAAGCAUCCUCAUUCCGCCACACCCAUUUUGUGUACGUGUUGAUGCUUCACGCCCAACAUCUGUGCCAAUACAACAUCGGCCUUAUUGCCUCCUAAAUUUUCCUUGACUUCAGUGCCUACGACGGUCACACACAGCCGGGAUGCACUCUACACUUCAUCAUCCAGCUUGUAUUCUAUGGUUGAGAUCUCAUCUAAUUCUCUCGUUCUCUUUGCACGAUAGUCCUAGUAGCGAAACACGCUUUUUGGUGAUCUUCGCUAGAUUGCUCCGGUCAUUAGUGGGUAAGUAUAUAAAUGGAUAGAGACAAGAAAGCAAACACAAGAUGUACGUGGUUCACCCAGAUGGCUACGUCAGAAAUAGAGGGAUUCUCAUUAAUUGUGAAGGUUUACCAAGUACAUAGGUUCAAGCUCUCCUUUAGUGAGUACAAGUGAAUGAUUAGUACAAAUGACAUUGGGAAAUAUUGUGGGAGAAUGAUCUCGUAAUCACGAACUCUAAGUAUCGGAACGUAUCGUCUUGAUUGCCUUAUCUGUCUCAUAGGUAAUGUGGCAUCUUCUCUGGAGUACUCUUCUCCAUCCAGGGUUGUAUCUUAACUAGUGGAGAUGACAAGGUAAUGUAUCAAUUUCACUUGAAGCUUACUUGUAGUUUCAGGUUGGUCAGCGCGAUACAAACCAUGUAGUGGAGUCCCCAAGUCGCCGAGCUAGAGGAUCUGCUAAAAGAGGUGACAGACAAGGUAAGCAAUCAGAGCUCGGCUGAUUGUUCACUUCUCCCUAUCUUGCAGGCAGCAUGAAGGAUAAAGAGAAGAAAUGAGAAGAGAUUGAUAUGGGUACUUUGCUUUUGAAGAAGUAACUUCCAACAGGCUUAUUCUUGAACUGAGCUGGAGGGUUUUCUGUUUCCUCCGAGUAUAAGGCCGACUGAAGGAUUUGAGGGUCAAACAAGUCCAUCAAAUCUAGAGUACGUUCGACCCCUGAUAUGGGAUACUUUGCUUUGACAGAGUAUGGAAUGAUGGCACGUGUUGCUGUUCGCUUGUCUCCACAUGCUUCCUUGUAUCCUUCUCCCUUGCCCUAGCUGUUCCUCAGGCACGAUUGCGGUAUCUUCCUGGAAGCAUAAGAUGUUGAAGAUGUACUCGAGGCAAUGGGUAAGUAAUAGGUAAGGGGUUCUAGGCAGUCAGUUCCUGGCUGGAAGUUUGAUUCCAAGUGCUGACUGAUUGCUCUCUUCUCCUUGUUUGCAAUAAGAACAAGGCAAAGGAAAAGACAGGGAAAAAGCAUGAUAUGGGAUACUCUUGCUUUUUAACCCUGAUGAUAUGAAUAUCUUGCUCUAGUAUAGCUUGUUUGCAGAGAUAUUAUCGCGGGGAAAGAAGCUGAUAUUCGAAAGGCGUUGGGUGCCCCAUAUGAGGAGGGUUGAGCAUUUUUGCAGGUCUGCCUGUCGUUGGGGAUGGAGGUCGACAUAUAUAGAGUCUCCUUAAAACAAGUAAUAAUGCUAUUCCGUUUCCUACUUGGUCAUAGCCAGGGGGGCUCCAGCGUUCACAUGUUUUAAUUGUCAGAGCACUUUGAAAGUGGUUUGUGGUAUUGGAAAGGUGAUGUUGCAUGUGAAGUUACAGACAGCUUUAUCCCCAAGGAGUCGGCUCUUGAAGUUGGGAAAGUUUGCCUCUUGUUUUCGAACAAGCAACUCCUUGGGGUCUGGCUCCGAGAUUCGGAGACGAUGCCUCUUCGAUUUGAGAAAGCAAUCAUGCUGGGGGGCUCUCGAGAUUCGGAGAACGAUGCCUCUUCGAUUUUUGAGAGAUGCCUAUUGUGGGUUUAUCCAAAGGCAUUUAUUCCUUCGUCUUCUAGGCUGUACGCGUAAUGAGCUCCAAUGUCAACCUGUGCCUCCUUCUAGGGUUCUGUCCAGUACUAAGGUCGAAUGAUCCCUCCGGUGCCUCUCUUUCUGGGCUCACGACUGCUGAGAUUCUAAGCAACCUUUGUGAGGCUCCCUCUUGUUUGUUUGUUAAUAACAUUUGUAAUCGGGGAUAUCUUUUCCUUCAUUUCACGUAUUGUUUAAUUACACAACCUUCUUCGCUAGUUCUUUGAAUUUUCUUUGUUGAAGCUUUGUGAGUGGGCAUUAGGUUUGAGUAUGUUCCUUAAUUUCCUGAGUGAGGAAAACUUCUCGGUUGGAGACUGGAAAAUCCAAGUCAUUGAGUGGGAUCGGCUAUAUGAAUUCUGAACGCUUGUGCUCGGUCUUGUGUUAUGUCCUCGUUAGAUCCAGUACUUAAGUCUUUUCUUAGUCUCUUCCAAGUUUUCUAGUCUUCCUACCCCUUCGGCUGAACUCUAUCCUAGUCGCAUCUUCAAUCGAAGUCAGUAGGCCUUCUUUGCACAUGUCCAAACCCGUAAAACCGAUUUUCUCUCAUCUUUCCUUCAAUUGCGGCUACUCCUACUUUACAUGGAUAUCCUCAUUCAUAAAUCUUAUCCUUUCUCGUGUGCCCACACAUCCAACGAAGCAUCCUCAUCUCCGCUACCCAUUUUGUGUAGUGUUGAUGCUUUACGCCCAAAUUCUGUGUCAUACAGCAUCGCCGGCCUUAUUGCCUCUAUAAAAAUUUUCCCUUGAGCUUCGUGGCAUAUAGGCGUCACACAGCAGCCGGAUCAAUCUUCCAUUCAUCCAUCCACUUGUAUCUAGGUUGAGAUUUCCAUCUAUUCUCCGUUCUUUGCAAUAGAUCCUAGUAACGAAAACGGUCGCUCUUGGUAUUUCUUGAUCUCGAUCCUCACCCCUAAUUUUGGCUCCAUUGCACUGAACUUGCACCUCAUUUUCUGUCUUUGAUCGGCUUAGGCGAAGAUUUAGAUUCCAAACUCCUCUCCAAAGGUAAGUUUGCAUUACCCUUCCUGAGUUCAUCUAUCAACACUAUUCGUCUGCGAAGCAUACACCAAGAAUAUCAUCUUGAAUAUGUCCUGUUAACUCAUCAAUUACAACGCAAAAANUAUAUGGGCUCAAGCAGGCGCCCCGUGCAUGGUCCAAUGUUUUUCCACUCAUUUGGAAGAUUUGGGUUUCCCCUCUACGCGGUCAUCGUUUUUACCUAAUUCAUGGCUCAACUCGUAUUUAUCUCUUAAUUUAUGUUGAUGAUAUUUUGGGUCCGGGAAUAAUCUCUUAUAUUGUCACCUCAUUAAGAUUUUGGGCCUCCGUUUCUCUAUAAGGACCUUGGACGGUUCAUUAUUUCUUAGAUGGAGGUGGUCCGCACUCCAUCAGGUCUCUCUCUUUCCCAACAGAAGUAUGCACUGACCUCCUUACCGCACCAAAUGCGGUGCCGGGUUCCUACUCUGCCGUUAGUGGGCGACGGCUCAGUCUUCGGAUGGUGACUCUGCCGGAUCCUACUGAAACCGAAGUGUUGUCGGCGCCCUUCAUUACUUGACUCUUCACUCGCCCCGAAUCAACUUCGCCGUCAACCAAGUCUGCCAAUCUUCACCAGCCGACUUCUACUCAUUGGGCCGCGUCAGCAUUCUUUCGUUACCUUGUCGGCACUACUUCUCACGGUCUUAUCUACAAGCUGGUUCUUUUGUCUUACGGCAUUUCCGAUGCCGAUUAUGCCGGGAUCCUGAUGAUCGGCGUUCCACCGGGGGGCUAUUGCUGUACUGGGUUCCAAUCUUGUCUCAUGGAGUGCCAAGAAACAAAAUGGGGUCUCUCCGGUCCAGCACUGAGCCGAGUAUCGUCAAUUGCAAUCACCGCUGCCCUCUUUCAUGGUUUCGUAUGCUGUUCGUGACCUCCAGUUUCCUCUCCAUUGUCCUUACCACUGUUCGUGUGACAAUAUCAGUGCUAAUUCCUUUGCUUUCCAACCGGUGUUUUGCCCGCACUCGGCAUGUUGAGGUAGAUUCCAUUUAUGUUCGUGAAAGGUUGUCGCAAGGAGCUUUGAUGUUCAGUUAUCUUUCUAUCAUGAUCAGAUUGCUGACAUCUUCACCAAGGGCCUUUCUCUUCCUCGUUUUCGACUUCUGGUUUCCAAGCUUCCUGUACUUGAUUGUACUGUCAGCUUGCGGGGGUAAAGGAUGAUACAUUCCUGAUCUCUUGGGAUUGUUUCCUGUUUAUCAUGAUUUCCAGAUUUCCCUGUUUUAUUAAAACAUUCCCUUUAUGUAUUCUUUGUAGAUUAAUUAUACUUGUAAAUCAAGUCAUUGUACACUAUUUAAAUCAAUGAUAAUGCACCCUCUAUAGUAUCGAGGGAUUGAGCCAAAAUACCUUCUUUUACUUUUGCUGUCUUGUCUGCAAUUCCUCCUUUGAGUUAUCUUUUAGUUAGUAUCAACAAGGACAAGAAUUCCAGGGAUGGUGACCGUGCGUAGACCUGAUGAAUCAGUGGUGUGUCUCGGUUGGCUACCCAUACGAACUUUUUUACUUGAUCGCUAGAAUGGGACUUACAAUUACAAUUAACCGAGUGUUGACUGGCCAGCCUGUCCAGGUUCAGAUAGACUUAACUCCAUAUCAUGAGUAGCUGUCCAACCAGGUUCAUAGGCUUCAAGGAAACCGAUCUUUGCCUUGUCGGGGAGAUCAUGGGAAUGAACAAAUGGCACCUCGUUUGGCCACCCAAUCUCCAUUCUUAUAUUGGCAAAGGGGCUAUCAAGUGUCUGAAUGUGAUUCUCACACUCCUUCAGGUUGCAGAACCUCAGCUUGAUUCCCUUCUUGUCUGCAAUGUCUUGAACCCUUUCCAUCAGGACUCUCUGGACCUCGACCCACAAUCUCUUGGAAGGUGGCAGAGGUUUGGUUCUUUCACCCUUUCUCCUCCUCAACAAAGGCUUCAUAGAUCCUGUUCCAGCAUUUCAUCGAUCCAAGGAACCUAAUGUUAAAAAGCUUCUCACAUAAGAGAUACACAUAAACACGUGCAAUCCAAUAUCAAGAGGACUCAAGAGACGGAUAUAAUUUUUAGAAGAUAAAACUAGAUUGAAGAUCCUUGUUAUGACAGCAGAAAUGCGAAAACUAUUAAGUAGUUGAUGAUUACUAUCAAUAGAGUUGGACUUAAUUUAGCUUAUACAUUGAACUUAUUUUUAGUGUGUGCAUGUGCUUCAGUCAGUAAGACCAAUCCUAAUUAAAGUAAGCUGUCAUUAAAAAAAUUGCAUUCAUGAAAUCAAUUUACAGUAUGUAACAAGCAGGCAAUUGGUAAAGAAGAUUAAAUGCAGCAUACCAUCUUGUGCUGCAUGGAAAUUGGAACUUUGGAAACCGUGUCUGUUAAAGAGUUGAUUGGUGGGGUGAGAUCUCUGCAUAAAGUCAUCAACCGCUACUGGAAGCUGGAACUGAGCUUCAACCCCAUGACCAGCAGCUCUCAUCUCUGAACAACUAAGAUUGGUCAUGGAUUUAGGCAUGAAUUUAAAAGCCAAAGAACAUCGCCCAAACAAGUUGCUCUGUGUAUUAGCAGUCUCCGUUCUCUGCAGUGCAGGGUUAACAUAUCCUGCAGUUGCCUGAUAGAGUGCGAGUCCAGGGUAAACAAUAGCUUCUUGAGGACCAGUCACGAGGGUCAUUGUUAUUAACCAUAUCUGCAGCUGGGUAUGAUGCUUUCUGGUGGAAGUAGAAGCGAGCCGAAUCUAAACCCAACCUCAAAAGAGCCCCAUCACUCACUGGAAAACUGAAUGAUGGCAGCAGAAUAGAGUGCUAGUGAUUGUGACAAAGUUGAAACGGAUAGUUUGUAAGAUUCUGAUGGAAGGCCUUCAGCAGGUGCCAGAUCAGUUAGCUUCACACGACCUAGAGAUGGCAGGCCAUUACUUGCCAUGAAACCCUUUGGGUAUACUUGCUACCUGAUUUUGAAGAGAGGCACAGGUUACCACUGACAUAACUCAAAAUUAAUAAACUGAAAACAGCAUAAUCAUUCAUCAAUCAGAAUCUCCUCUUUUUUUUCUUAUGAGAAUUUAGGAACUCCUUGACCCUUAAGCCGAAGCCACAAAAACUGAACCAUCUACGUACUGCAAAGAAAGAAAGUAUAUGAAGCAUAAAUAUAUACAUACAAAUACAUGUGUGUACAUAUAUGAACAUUUUAUAUUGAAAAAGUGCUCUCCUAAGGUCCUUAAAAAAGUCAAGCUGCUCAACUAUUGAUCGUAUAUGUACGCUAGAAAUGCAAGAUCUAUGAUACGUUGCAUGCCGAGGGGACAUUUGACCUAUGUACAGAUAAAGUUAGAAACUAAGGGCCUGUUUGGUAUCCUAUUUGAAAAUUUUUAUCAUUUCUCAAAACAUUUUUUAAGAACAUUUCUUGAAAAUAGUUUUUUUGAAGACUCAAAAACUUGAUUGGUUUCUAAUUUAAAAUUUUUAAAUCUUACAACUUAAACUAUAACAAAGAGAUCUAAAAAGAGGAGGACGCAAGAGAGGUAGAAAGAGGAGAGAGGAGGAAAGAAAGUAAGAGAUGAUUUAAGGAAAAAGAAAGAAAAGAGAGAAUUGGACGAGAUAAAGAGGAAGAUGAGUGAGAAAAAAAACCUAAAGAAUAAAGAAAGCGAAUUGGAGAAGAGACGAAAAAGAUAAAAAAAAAAAAAGGAUAAAGAAAGAAGAAAAGAGAGAGAUUUAGAGUGAGAGUAGAGGAGGAAGAGAAAAGAAAGAAGUGAGUUUAAGUUUAAAAACUCUAAAAACUCACUUUUUAGUUUUUAGAUAAUAUAUUAUAUUUUUUAGUUAGUCUUAAUUUCAGUUUUUUAAAAUAGUCCUACCAAACAAGUUUUUAAGGUCUAAAACUUGAAAAUUGUUUUUGAGUUUAAAAAGUUGGAUUCAAGUACACUACCAAACAGGCCCUAAGUUUUUCCAAUUACUAGUAUGAGCAACGAACACAAAAAAAUUUCUUAUUAAACUUCGAUCUAAUAAUCUCUUUAGUCAGGAAAUUGAAGUGAUAUCCAAAAUCUGCCACAAUGUCAUCUAAACUCAACACAAAAAAAUAAAAUUGCUGAACAGUUCUGCAAGAUGAAGACUAAAUGCUACAGCAUCGACCGGAAACACUCUUCCAAACACAAAACCAGCCUUGCAACCAUAUUUCUUUCAAGUAUAUUGUCCAAACGGGGUAGUCUUUGCUCAUACAGAAGAUUGAAAAAUCCUUAAACACACUCGAUGCAGCAACGAACGAUUACUGUCUCCAUUAAGAUUUAUCCAACUGUUAAAAUGUUGAGUUUGUUUCAAAAAUUGUAUUACUUUUCUCCCCAAUUUUCAAACAAGAGCCCAUAAGACCAAUUGGCAACAAUUUGCAAUCCAGAUUUAGCGUCAUUAAUUGUUACCCAUCAACUAAUUCAAUCCAAAACGUGGAAAAAAAAAACUGGAACAAUUUGUUUCCUUUACUUGAUCUAAUAAAUAUAGAAAUGGUUCAAGAACACGGGAAAUUCCCAAUUCUCAAAACAAACAGAGAGAGAGAGAGAGAGAGAGAGAGAGAGAGAACUGACCUUCAUUGGUAGAAAAUGUUGCAGACGCCAACCAACCCAGAAGAAAGUUAAAUUCACGGGAAGAUUAGGGCUUUACAAAAGGGAGAGAGGAGAGGAACACACAACACAGUGCCUUUUUUCAAUUUUUUUUAACAGUUACACUUUCAUGGUGGAUUUUACUUGCGGCAACCAAAACUUGGUGAUGAGAUGAAAAUUUUGGAUUUGGCAGUGACCGAACACAGAAGUUGUCGAAAGCCAUAUCACCUACGCCAUAAAUUUUUCGUUCUGACCGGAAUGGGUGGUACAUCGUUUGUUUAUAUAUAAAUUGUAAGAAAUUUUAUUUUUUAAGUUAUUAAUUUUUUAAUAUAUAUAUCUCAUUAUUUAUAUAAUGAUACGAAUUGUAUCAUUUCAUAUGCUAGUCAUAUUGAAAUAUUUCUUCUACUUGGAUAUGUCUUUCCGCUUCUCAAAUUGGAGAAAUUUAUGUAAGAAGUAGCUAAUGUUAUUCACACGUUUAUUUUUAUCUUUCAAAUACCUUUGUUAAUAUUUGGCCUUGAUUUUCUCCAAUUUACUCCAUCCGAGCAGCGAAUAUUGAAAGAACAUAUGAGAAGUAAAAAUAAGUAUGUAGAUAGCAUAACCCUCUUUUUUAUAUACAAUUGUUAUUUUUUUAAUUUGUUUUGGAGAAUUCAACAAAACCGUCAUAAAACUUAUUUUCAUAGCACUUUUGUUGUUUUGUAAAAAUUUUCAGAAUUCAUUUAAAACGUUUCGAAAAUGUUCCCAUUGAUGAAAAUUUGUUCUAGCCACAUACUAAAAUCUGUUAGAAUUUUUCUCCAUUGAUUUUUUUUUUUUGCCUUAAAAAUGAACAAUGUUUGGCCACUCAAGAAUGAAAAUGCCUCAGAAACAGUUCGUAAUACUUUCAUCAAUUCCUACCAUAUGUUUUUAUAUAGCUCAAUGACUAAACAAUAUAAUUUUUUUUUUUGCUGAAAAAUCAUCUUUACGAAUCGAUUUAUAAUAUGAUAUUUCCGAUCAUAUUCACAAACUUUUGUGAAUUGGCCUAAAGAGUGUAGCUAUGUGACAAUGACUUAUAUAACAUUGCCUCCCGAUUGAAGAAGUUAUAGGAAAAUCAAGAGACAAAAUAAAGACGAAAAUGUGUACGAAAAUUAUUUCCAAAAUUUUAUCGAGCCUCGACUAGUGAAAUAGUGACUUCAUUAGCUGAGCAUGUUUUAGAAGAAUGACCGGCUUCGAGUUCACUCAUAUCCCUUUCACUGUAAAAACCAGGUUUUAGAGGUGGGGGCAAUGCACCUUCACUACCCAACAUUAGAAUUGCGGCUGACAUGCUCGGCCUGUCUUCUGGAUUCCUCUGCACACACAAAAGACCCACAUGAAUCGUUCUCACAACUUCAUGCAGAGUGAUGGAGUCCUCUAUCGAUGCAUCAAGCAGUUCGAGAGGCCUGCCUUCUGUGUGUAGCAUCCAUGCCUAAAACACGAAAACUAGUGUACUUAGCAGAAGUAGUAAAGUCGAGCGAUAAGAAUUUUUAACUUGACAUUUGAUGUUGUUACACUCACAUGUCCAAGAAGGUUGAGUUUGUGGUCUGGAUGAGAGAAUCCUCUAUUUCUACUCCACUCACUAUCUCUAGCACCAGAACACCAAAACUAUAGACGUCGGACUUUAUAGAGUAAAAACCAUCAAUUGCAUAUUCUGGGGACAUGUAACCGCUGCAGACCAAUGUGUCAAAAAACAUUUUUAUACGCAAAGAAUCUAGACUUUCUAGUUUCUAUUAGUGUUUUUAAAAAUUCAUUAAAAAAGAGCUGUACAAUUGUGUUUUAGGAUACUUACUACGUUCCGACCACUUUCUUCGUUUCAAUUCCUCCAAAGCUUCUAGCCAGGCCAAAGUCUGAGAUUUCGGGUUAAAUUCACUGCCUAAUAAAAUGUUACUUGCUUUGAGAUCUCUAUGAAUAACUCUCAAUCUAGAAUCUUGAUGAAGAUAGAGGAGCCCUCGAGCUAUCCCAUUAAUAAUUUCAAAGCGCUUCGCCCAGUCUAAUAAUAUCCUUCUUGUUUGAUCUGCAAAAUAUCAUAAUUCACAAUUGUCAAAAAAUACAUCGUGCUAGGUUGCUAGCAUAAGUGGACUAAUUGAACUAAAUGCAAGGUUUUGGAGUGGUCAAACCAAAAAUAAAGAAGUCUAAGCUCUUGUUAGGCAUGAACUUGUAGAUCAGUAUCAUCUCAUCUUCUUGAAUGCAGCAUCCAAGAAGCUUCACUAGAUUCCUGUGCUGAAGUUUGGCAAUAUGUGUAACUUCAUUCUUGAACUCGUUGAGUCCUUGUCUAGAAUUUUUUGAAAGCCUUUUCACUGCGAUUUCUUGUCCAUCUUGCAUCGUACCCUAAAAUCCAUCAACGUAUGUUAUGACCAAAAUUCAUAUUUUGUAGUUUGCACACUACUUGUAUCCAUCAUUCCAUAUUCUGACCAGAAUUACAUGUAUCUAUACAACUUCGAAACUAUGAAGGACUAUCUAGUUUUACCUUAAAGACAGAUCCGAAACCGCCUUCACCAAGUUUGUUUUCAUUUGAAAAGUUAUUGGUUGCAGAAACUAUAGUCAUCAAGUCAAAUAACGGUAAUUCCAGAUCCUCAUUUUGGUUGCGUCCCAGUUUUCCUACAAAGACGCAGUGACAAGUGAAAAAAAUUCCCUAUACAACUGAACUAUGUAGUUUGGAAAGAAGAGGGGCACAAUAGUACAACCAACUUACCACCUUUUUGGUGCUGCUUCUUCCAAACAUAAAACAACAGAGAAAGGCCCAGGAUCAGCAAUCCGAUAGACAACACAAUAGUGCUUAUUAUGAUUCUCAUUUUCUUUUCAUUGGAUUCAGAGUAUUUAGCGUUGAUCUUUGUAUCGUCUUCAUGAUCUACAAAUGAUAUUUAUGAAAACAGAAAAUCUAUGAGUCGGAGAGUAAAAAACAAAUAAAUAAAAACUGUAUAAUGUCUAUCAUCCAACUAAUAGUUUCUAGUUUGUGAGACAAUUCUAAUAGAGGAUAUUGCUAAUUGUGUCAACAUUCAAAGUUAAAACUGUUAGAAUUAGUACAAUGUUUCACUUCGUUAUGUCUUGACUUUGUUUCGAGCAUAUGAUUAUGACUAAAUGCAUAGUCACCAAAAGGUGUUUUUUACGUACUUUGUUCUGCUGCGGCCAUUCUUAUAUAAAUAUCUUGCCCGUUUUCAGCAGUGUAUCUUAUAUCAAUUAGAUCACCGUACCACAGCAAGCACCCAGUUCCUCCAUCCCGGAUAUCCAAAUUUGUAUAAGCCGUGCAGGAGCAGUUCUUCAUGCACACCAUCUCACAUUCCUUGAGGUUCAUACUUUUGUUAUGCCAUGAUUGUUCUGUGCUAGGCAAUUUCACCCCCGAGUACUUUUGGAACAUGUCUCCGGUGCAAUUUAGAGAAGUCUUUCUCACACAGCCAUGAGACCAAUCCACCAAAUCCCAUUCUUUCGGGAACUUUGGUGUAAAUCCUUUCAAACAGCUACAAACCGGGGACUCUUCAAUGUUACAUGCACCAUGUACACCACACAAUGCAUAGUUUACACAGUCAUCAAUUUUGGCUGAUUGGUAAAGAACCCAACCUCUGGUUCUAUCAAUCCAUGUGUAGCGCUGCACAAGUCCAUCUGAAGUUAACACCACCCUCGAAAAGAUUGAGUUGUUGUGAAGCUUGUAACUGUAGUACAUUUCAUCAGGCUCAGAAACAAAACUGUAUGUGAAUAUAGGGUUUGGAUUGAACUGAGGGCUUCCACUGAACCCGACUCCAUUCCAUGGUCCAGACCGAUAUUUAAUGACCGAACCUUCCCUCACAAAUAAUUCUGCAUAUCCCUUGGGACCAAGUUGAGAUGUACGAUUUCCUUGAGAAGGAUCCUGAGGACUUUUCCACGAUCUAAGAUGCCAAUUGAAGCCUGUAACUGUGUUCCUACCAAUCUUCAUACCUGGUAAGAAUGUAUCGCCAGGGUAAUCAAAACCUUGCCACAGAAAGUUCUCAGAGUCGUCAUCACUCCUAUCUAUCACGACAAGAUUACCCGAAUCCAAAAGACGUGCCACUGGAUUCUGUGCAGUUCUCGAUGUGUUGGAGGACCAAAUUGUGCUCAUGUUGUGGUUGAGGACAAGAAUUCCGGGGUUGGUGACCUUCAAAACGCCGGACAUAUCAGCGAGGGGCUUGUCUCUGUUGGCAACCCACACAAUGGUUGUAACAGAUAUCUGUUUACCAUAUCGCCACGUACCGUCUAUUAGAAGCAUCAGGAUAGUAAAAUCCUAGCUCAAACGUACCGCCAGUUGAAACUACAGUCUCACCGUCUCUAAUGGACUGAAAUGUACUCGUGGCGUCAUCAGCUGUGGAGAUUACGGCUGCGACCAUGAGCAGCAAAGAAGAGUAGAAAAGAAGCAAGCACAUCUUAGCUAAAGCAUUUGACGGAUUUUUCAUAAACUUCAUGGGAAAGCACUGAAUAUUGUCUGUCAUUUGAACACCUUAUUGAAAUAACGUUGAUACCUUUUCCUGCAAGCAACCAAUCAUUUUCAAGUUCAAUAUUGUUGAAUAGUCGGGUGCGUGAGAAAGUUGUCUUCAAUCCGAAGUAGACUUCGCAUUCGGUUAAGAAUGAUGUUGUCGUAGCCGGAUAUUUCACUAUGACAACUAAGAUUGUUCAUCUAGUAGAAAAUAUCCGAAUUAAUAUGUGGUCAUAUCCAGUUCCCUCGGCUCAAAGGAAACUUAAAUGUCUGAUUGGUGUACUCUCUCGCAUUAGUCUUGUAUUCGAUAUCGUUUUCUUUCCUUUUCAAUUCUUGUAAUUCAAGAUUAAUCCCACGUUAGAAAGUAUCAAUAAGAGCGUCUUCGGUGGGCGAUAAUAUUCCCUGUAACUGGUUGUAUAUCUCAUUGUGUCUAUCUCCCUAAUCACGUUAAGUUUUUCAUUUUCAAAGUCAAUCUGUUACACAUGUAAUGGAUCAAUUUGGUACCCUGUCAUUUUCUUUAGUUUAUACUAAAAAUUAUUGGCCGCACGUUGUUGCAGGAUUAAAAAUUGUAAAAAGCAUUAUAUUUGAAAGAUAUAAAAGAUUGUGUCAAGAAGAUUAAUACAACUCAUUGCUAUAUUUAAUUGAUACUCCACAUAAAAAUCGUAGAAGUUUUGGCUAUCUAUGUACAUAAAAUAUUAGAUCAACACAUUCCACUUAGGUAGUUUUUGUGAUUUUCGAUUGACAGCAGUACUUAAAUACGAAAGAUUACGAAACUUUGGGUUAUUUACAUGAAAAAAAUGUUAAGAAAUACUGUCAUUUACAUUGAUAAAAUAUGACAAAAAUUGUUCAAUGGAAUACCAAAAGAUCACUCCACUACUCUUGAUUGUCAAGAAAUUAGUUUAAACCAAUCCAAAGAUCAAAACUCUUUCAAAAUUCCAUGUGUAUUCAGUUUCUCUAAAUCAACCAACUUCUCCAUUCCAAACCAUCUAACAAAUAUUUGGCAGCAAUACAGCCAUCAACAAACAUUUUAAACCCAUUUCCAUGUGUAUUAAUGAUUUUCAACCAAAUUAUUUGAAGAUGGGGAAUCACAGAGCGAGCUUAAUUAGGAACCAAAGAAGAUCUGCAAAAGCAAGUUAAGAGAUCAUCGUACUACAGAAGCAAAUUACAUAAUAAAAUUAAGAGAGCAUUAUAUUACCAAAGCAUAAUAAUAUGUUCAUUUCCAAAUGUAUUACGAAAACCUAUUGUUUCAUUUUUUUUCAACCCACAAAAUUUACAGUUUAGUUCAAAAAAUUUGAUCUGAUUAUUAAUAUUCACACGGAAAAGAUACGACUCAAAUGAACUGGGCAUUUGAAGUCACUUUCUUAUUUCUUAUAACCACAUCAGUAUCAUAUAUAUAUAUAUAUAUAUAUACAAACGUAGCAAAACAGCCCAGAGUUUUGGAACUGUAUAAAACGUAGCAAAAAGAAAAUGGGUUUGUUUCUUCACUUUGUUCCUCCUCCUUUCUUCUGAUACGUAGGUGCUUUGACACUUUGUACAGCUCCAAAGCUGCCUCCUUGAGAAAACCAGUUUUUGGAAGCUCAACAAACCCUGCUUCUCCCAGAUGGUUCUGAACAAAGCUUCACCUGCAUCACUCGCACCAUGGUCUAUACACCUACAUGCAACUUUUGAUUUGAUUAUUAUAUAUUUUAUUAUGUCGAUACUCUACUAUAGAAACAAAAAUAAUUACACAAUACAAUUCAAAAGGAGAAAUAGUUCUUCAACCCAGUUGCAAGAGACGUCGAAAAUAAAGAAAUGGAGAUAUGUGUAUUAACUUGUUCAUAUUUGAACACAUAUACUUAUCUAUGAUAUAUUUUUUACAGUAGCACAUGGCUAAAGAUAUGUUACGCGAUAAUAUAUGUUAUGCCAAUUAUUGACUGAAGACAUGGCAGAAGAAGCAAAACGAAAAACAAUGGCAAAGAAUUUAGAGAGAGAAAGUGAAUGACUAAAGAUUGUAUUCCUUGAACAAUGAAGGAAUUCCAGAGAGAGGCGUUCGUUAUUUAUACAAGUAUUCUUUGCUUCACUCAUAAGCUACUUACCAACUUUCUUAUCCCUACAAAUCCCAACAGACUAACAGCCUUCCUACAAUCUCAACAAACUAACUGCCUCGCUGAUGUGUGCCUUGCUGAUGUGUAACCUUCAUGCUGAUGUGUCUGUAGAGCCAUACUGAUGUGUACAUAUCAGUCAACAGACCCAUGGCCUGAAGCAAUAACUUUAUGUUUCUUGAGUAUUCAUCUAAUAAAAGGCUAUUUGGGACAAGACUGGAUCUUUAAGAUAAUCUGAUGUGCUGCAACAACAUACAUGGAGACCUAGAAAACAAAAAGCAAAGAGCAUUGGUAAGUAAUAAUAAAACAUAAAAAGUACACAAAUUUAUCAACAAGCCAUGAAUGACCAAUCUUGUGAUAAUUCCAAAUCAUGUUUUUUUUUUUUUUUUCAAAUGGUAAUUCAUUCAACACGAUAGAACUCCCUGUAUACAAGGAGGAGAGAUAAGCAUAUGAGAACACCAAAUAAACUUCAAUAGACCAUCUUUUACAAUCACACACACUAGUAAAACUGCUUGCAAGUCACAAUCUUUCACAUAGUUUUUCCUAAACCCCAUGCAUGCUUCCCUCCUAGCAAAGCAGUUACAAACUUACAUGAUGUCUGACAUGGUUAAAGACAAGGGCAACUUUUACAAAAGAAACGCACCAAGUAAUCAACCACAGAGCAUUAUCGUGUCUAUCAAGUCUCACAUGUUUUGUACAUCCUAAAUAAUGAAAAAGCAUUAUCAUUCAAUUCCAUCUUUAGCAGCUUUGGCCUUAUGAAGAAUCGCAGCUGCUAAAGAUGCUAAGCAUGGAAAAUCAAAAGCGUCCAACAAUGAAUAUAAAGUGGGAUAAAGUAUGCAACAAGAAAAUAAAUCACUAGGCUGGGGGAGGAAAAGAAGUUGGACAAAGGACAUGAUUUUACAACAAAAAAGAUAUCCGAUAAUUUGGCAACUGAUUGCCAACAAACAGGUUCUUACAACGAAAAAUAAUGACACCACUGAUGCACAAGGACAACUUGCUUAGCAUACUAUGACCAUACCUUCCAAUAUACAACAGCAACUAACAAGAAAAAGAAGCACGAUGCAAAACAAGAAUCAAAUAGAAAACUAAGAAAAACGUUAGCCAAAACCUAUAUAUUUCAUCUCUCCCUUCCCCCUAAAAGAAAAUACUAACAAGGAAUAAGAAAAUCCCUGGCAGGCAACGUUACAUUGUCCCUUCAACCCCUUUUCCUACCAAAAUAUUUCCACCCAUAGAGACACCUCUUCGACUAUCUAUGUUAAUUGUUACAGUCUCAGGGAAAUGCUCUAAAACCCACAGUGAUGCAGCUCUCCAAUAUGGAUGAGUGACCGAGGGACAUUUCAAACCCAUUUUCCAAUCUAGCCUACGCAUUUUCUUACGAUUUCACCAUGCAAGAAAGGCUUCUCAGUGUGUGUUUAACUCCCAGUACAAAGGGUUAUUUAUGCCGAACCCAAUUUUUGUGAAAAAAAUUAUGGAAUUUGCCAAAACCCCUAAAAAUAUUUAGCUCAAACACUUCACAAACGAUGAUUCUGCACUAAUUUUACGACCCCAAAGCAUCUCUUCUUUCAUAAAACACAAUUUGGGUCAAAACCCAAAUGUAUCAAAACUCAAUUAUACACACUGACCAAUAAUCAGUAAAAUAACCAUUAAAAUGCAUCAAACUGAUUAACAUUUCAGCUGACCAAAUGCAGAAAGAACCAGCUUUUUCCAUCAUACAAAGCCAAGCUCACAACCGAACCCACUAAAUCGCACAGCUCGGAACCAGAUCCAAUUCUUUACAAACCAGAAUCGUAAUAAACCUUAAAAAUCAGACUUUGUUCUUUUUCCCAAGCACAAGUUAAACCAGAGAAACCAAGAAAACUAACUUAUUUUCUCAUAAUCAUCAUAUUUUCCCAAAAAAAUUGAAAUUUUCCAUGGAAAAAUCAAGAAAACGAACCUGGAGAUGCAGCGGCUACGGGAGAAGACCGAGAUUGAACCUGGAAUGAACAUGUUUUUUAAUUUUCUGAUUUUAUUGCUGCGGCAAACUAAUUAGAAGGGAAAUCCCAAAAUCAAGUCUUAUAUUUUGGAGGCAUGUUUUCACUAAAUCAGUGUUCGUGUGUCCCCAACAAAUUGAGUGAGUUUAUGGCUGUUGCAUAUAAGGCUAGAUUGGAACUCUAAUACAUUAGGAUAGUGGGUUCCAAAAAUUUAAGAGUAUGAACAGAAAGAAAAACGCAUCAGACCUCCUAGAAGCAAUUUUUUUUUUUUCAGUUGCAGAUCGAAGCAAUACAAAGAAAGAGAAACCGAGAGGCAGAUCGUACCUAGACUGGAGAUGCAGAGCUGAAGUUCACAGAGAAGGUUGCAAAGGGGAGAUGCAGAGGAUGAGGAGGAAGGUUGCGAAGGGGGGAGAUGCAGAGGAGAGGAAUGAGGAAGACAACGGCAAGGCAGAGAGAAGAGAUAUUGUUUUAGGGUUUGUAAUGAUUUAGAUGGUGUAAUUUUUGAAAAAGAUAUGGGGUAUAUUUGUCUUAAAAUGGUAAAAUAUUGUGUUCCACAGGCGUGGAACAACCUGUUCCAGGGGGUAGACGCGGGACACAAAAACACCCAAAUUCUGUCCCGUGGAACAGCACGUUCCACCCUAUUUUGGCGUACCAAAGGCGGGACGGAACGUCUUGUCCCGUUCCGUCCCGUCCCAUCCCGCUUACCAAACGCACCCUAAGUGACCCUGGUGUGAAUAUUUCCCAGAGCCGAACAAUACCCUUUUUGUGCACAGUUUUGUGCAAACUGUAACAGGACAGAAUGGUUAUGAUCAUUACUGGUAAAGAAUAAGCAAUAUGCAACACUCGAGAACAGUAUUUUAAUGUAAUCUGCCUAAGGCUCUGGGUUUAAAUUUCAUCAUCCAUGUCAACUGCAAUAUCGACCGUGAUAUGCAAUACUUCAGAUUAAAAUACUUGUAACGCAACUCCAUACUUGCCAACAUGGAAGCAAAAGGAGGAAAGGAAUGCAUAUUCUACUUUACCUUCUGAGUAAGCACUUGAAAGCUCUUUUUGAACUCUUUUGUGCUCAUCCUAAUUUUGUGAUCGCUCAAUUUCAAGUGUAGCCUCUCUUUUCUAGUGAGAGAUUCCACUACAACCUGAUAGGCAUAUUCAAGCAUUUAAUAAUCUACAGAAAUUAACUCAGCAAUAUUAAAUAUCAAACCCACUUACUUACCAUCUAUCUUAUCCAACUCUUAUUUCGGUUUCUCUGUCAAAGCUUCGCAAUAAUCUAAUUCAAUUACUCUUCCUUGCUUUUUAAUAAGAUCCCUACAAUCAAACAAACAUAAUUAUUCUAGUAAACACAUUCGAAUUCAAACACAUAAAAGAUGUUAUUCAUACCCAUAUCGUCAUAUUGCUGCUCUGAUCUUGAAAAAUUAAAAUUAAUAAUAAUCGUUCAAAUCAUAUUACAAUAUAUCACAAACUAUGACAUCUGAUAAUCAAUACAUUUAAGAAAAUUUAAAAUGAAUUCAAUUCACUCCAAACGGUGAUAUUAUAUGUUCACAUAUAUAUUCACAACAACAACAAAAUCACUUUCUAGCCACUGGGAUAAAAAUAAGAACAGAAAACAUUAAUUCGAGUGCACAUAUGAACAUCACAUAAAAAUCAUAACAAAAUCCAAAACAGAAGGAGAGAUAACAAAAAUGAUAAUUUUUUGGGACUUACAAUUACAAUUAACCGAGUGUUGACUAGCCAGCCUGUCCAGGUUCGGUUAUACUUAACUCCAUGUCAUGAGUAGCUGUCCAACCAGGUUCAUAGGUUCAUAGCCUUGUUGGGGAGAUCAUGGGAAUGAACAAAUGGCACCCCGUUUGGCCACCCAAUCUCCAUUCUUAUAUUGGCACGGGGGCUAUCAAGUGUCUGAAUGUGAUUUUCACACUCCUUCACGUUGCAGAACCUCAGCUUGAUUCCCUUCUUGUCUGCAAUGUCUUGAACCCUUUCCUUCAGGACUCUCUGGGCCUCGACCCAUAAUCUCUUGGAAGGUGGCAGAGGUUUGUUUCUUUCACUCUUUCUCCUCCUCAACAAAGGCUUCAUAGAUCCUGUACCAGCAUUUCAUCGAUCCAAGGACCUGCUGUUAAAAGCUUCUCACAUAAGAGAUACACAUAAACACGUGCAAUCCAAUAUCAAGAGGACUCAAGAGACGGAUAUAAUUUUUAGAAGAUAAAACUAGAUUGAAGAUCCUUGUUAUGACAGCAGAAAUGCAAAAACUAUUAAGUAGUUGAUGAUUACUAUCAAUAGAGUUGGACUUAAUUUAGCUUAUACAUUGAACUUAUUUUUAGUGUGUGCAUGUGCUUCAUUCAGUCAGUAAGACCAAUCCUAAUUAAAGUAAGCUGUCAUUAAAAAAAUUGCAUUCAUGAAAUCAAUUUACAGUAUGUAACAAGCAGGCAAUUGGUAAAGAAGAUUAAAUGCAGCAUACCAUCUUGUGCUGCAUGGAAAUUGGAACUUUGGAAACUGUGUCUGUUAAAGAGUUGAUCGGUGGGGUGAGAUCUCUGCAUAAAGUCAUCAACCGCUACUGGAAGCUGGAACUGAGCUUCAACCCCAUGACCAGCAGCUCUCAUCUCUGAACAACUAAGACUGGUCAUGGAUUUAGGCAUGAAUUUAAAAGCCAAAGAACAUCGCCUAAACAAGUUGCUCUGUGUAUUAGCAGUCUCCGUUCUCUGUAGUGCAGGGUUAACAUAUCCUGCAGUUGCCUGAUAGAGUGCGAGUCCAGGGUAAACAAUAGCUUCUUGAGGACCAAGAUCGUCUUCCACAAGAACCCAACGACCCUGAAAGUCCUUUAUGUGUAGACCAGCCUUGUCUGACUUGACAAGAGAUAUCAAGCUUUUGUCAACUUGAUGCUCAUGGUCAGAAAACAUAACCAACUGGCCAUCCUCUUGGGUCGUAAAACUAUGGUGUUAUGUAACCUGAAAUGAUGGCCUUGCAUGACAACAGACAGAUAAUACUGAAGAAGAUAUUUACCUGUUUCUUAAGGGAACAUUAUCAAGUACUUCAGUAAAUGGUGAACUCCUCAAGUUCAAAUAGAAGCUGAUAGUGUCCAAUAUAUCUCGAGCUGCCUUUGCAAGCAGUGAAAAUAUAUCUGGUAAAGCUGCUGGAGCAAAUUCCAUUGUGUUGUCGGGCUCUAAAGGAGUGAGUCCAGGUCUGUAAUCAUAGGUUUCUAGCCACAAUUGAGGAUCUGCAUUAUAACCGGAAGUCUUGCACCAGUCACGAGGGUCAUUGUUAUUAACCAUAUCUGCAGCUGGGUAUGAUGCUUUCUGGUGGAAGUAGAGGCGAGCCGAAUCUAAACCCGACCUCAAAAGUGCCCCAUCACUCACUGGAAACUGAAUGAUGGCAGCAGAAUAGAGUGCUAGUGAUUGUGACAAAGUUGAAACAGAUAGUCUGUAAGAAUCUGAUGGAAGGCCUUCAGCAGGUGCCAGAUCAGUUAGCUUCACACGACCUAGAGAUGGCAGGCCAUUACUUGCCAUGACACCCUUUGGGUAUACUUGCUACCUGAUUUUGAAGAGAGGCACAGGUUACCACUGACAUAACUCAAAAUUAAUAAACUGAAAACAGCAUAAUCAUUCAUCAAUCAGAAUCUCCUCUCUUUUUUAAUGAGAAUUUAGGAACUCCUUGACCCCUAAGUUGAAGCCACAAAAACUGAACCAUCUACGUACUGUAAAGAAAGAAAGUAUAUGAAGCAUAAAUAUAUACGUACAAAUACAUGUGUGUACAUAUAUGAACGUUUUAUAUUGAAAAAGUGCUCUCCUAAGGUCCUUAAAAAUGUCAAGCUGCUCAACUAUUGAUCGUAUAUGUAUGCUAGAAAUGCAAGAUCUAUGAUACGUUGCAUGCCGAGGGGACAUUUGACCUAUGUAUGGAUAAAGUUAGAAACCAAGUUUUCCAAAUUACUAGUAUGAGCAACCAAGACAAAAACUUUUCUUAUUAAACUUGGAUCUAAUAAUCUCGUUAGUCAGGAAAUUGAAGUGAUGUCCAAAAUCUGCCACAAUGUCAUCUAAACUCAACACAAACUAGCAGUGUGGCUAAGUCAAACGAUUGUCUGAUACGAAAAAAGUAAAAUUGCUUAACAGUUCUGCAAGAUGAAGACUAAAUGCUACAGCAUCGACCGGAAACACUCUUCCAGACACUAAACCAUAUUCCUUCCAAGUAUAUUGUCCAAACGGGGUAGUCUUUGCUCAUACAGAAGAUUGAAAAUCUUUAAACACACUCGAUGCAGCGAGGAACGAUUACUGUCUCCAUUAAGAUUUAUGCAACUGUUAAAAUGUUGGGUUUGUUUAAAAAAUUGUACUACUUUUCUCCCCAAUUUUCAAAUAAACAAAUCAUAAGUGGCAAGAGCCCAUAAGACCAAUUGGCAACAAUUUGCAAUCCAGAUUUUAGCUUCAUUUAUUGUUACCCAUCAACUAACUCAAUUCAAAAAGUGGAAAAAAAAACUGGAACAAUUUGUUUCCUUUACUUCCAUCUAGUAAAUAUAGAAAUGGUUCAAGAACACGGGAAAUUCCCAAUUCUCAAAACAAACAGAGAGAGAGAAAGAACUGACCUUUAUUGGUAGAAAAUGUUAAAUUCAGGGGAAGAUUAGGGCUUUACAAAAGGACGAGAGGAGAGGAACACACAACACAGUGCUUUUUUUUUAUUUACGGUUACAUCUUAAUGGUGGAUUUGACUUGCGGCAACGAAAACUUGGUGAUGAGAUGAAAAUUUUGGAUUUGGAAGUGACGGAACACAGAGGUUGUCGAAAGCCAUAUCACAUACUUAGACAUGUCUUUCCGCGUCUUAUGCUAGAGAAAUUUAUGUAAGAAGUAACUAUUGUUAUUCACACGUCUAUUUUUAUUUCAAAUAUUUUUAUUAAUGUUUAGCCUUGAUUUUUUUCAAUUUACUCAAUUCGAGGAGCAAAUAUUGAAAGGAUGUGUCAUAAGUAAAAAUUUGUGUGUAGAUAACAUUACUUUCUAUUUUAUAUACAAUUGUUAUUUGGGGUUUUUAAUCUGUUUUGGGGAAUUCAACAAAACCGUCAUAAAACUUAUUUUCAUAGAACUUUCGUUGUUUUGUAAAAUUUUUCAGAAUUCAUUUAAAACGUUUCGAAAAUGUUCCAAUUGAUGAAAAUUUGUUCUAGCCGCAUACUGAAAUCUAUUGGAAUUUUUUCACGUUAAAUUUUUUUUUUUUUGGCCUUAAAAAUGAACAAUGCUUGGCCACUCAAGAAUAAAAAUAUCUCAGAAACAAUUCAUAAUACUUUUAUCAAUUUCUAUCAUAUGUUUUUAUAUAGCUCAAUGACUAAACAACAUCAUAUUUUAUUUUUAUUUUUUUGUUGAAAAUCUUUACGAAUCGAUUUAUAAUAUGACAGUUCCGAUCACAUUCACAAACUUUUAUGAAUCGGCCUGAAGAGUGCAUCUAUGUGACAAUGACUUAUAUAACAUUGUCUUCCAAUUGAAGAAGUUAUAGGAAAAUCAAGAGACAAAAUAAAGAUAGAAGUGCGUACAAAAAUCAUUUCCAAUAUUUUAUCGAGCCUCGACUAGUGAAAUAGUGACUUCAUUAACUGAGCAUGCUUUAGAAGAAUGACCAACUUCGAGUUCAGUCAGAUCCCUUUCACUGUAAAAACCAGGUUUUAGAGGUGGGGGCAACACACCUCCACCACCCAACAUUAGAACUACAGCUGACAUGCUAGGCCUGUCUUCUGGAUUCCGUUGUACGCACAAAAGGCCCACAUGAAUCGUUCUUACAACUUCAUGCAGAGUGACGGAGUCCUCUACCGAUGCAUCAAGCAAUUUGAGAGGCAUGCCUUCUGUGUAUAACAUCCAAGCCUAAAACACGCAAACUAGGCUACUUAACAAAAGUAACAAAGUAGAGCAAUAAGAAUUUUUAACUUGACAUUUGAUGCUGUCACACUCACAUGUCCAAGAAGGUUGAGUUUGUGGUCUGGAUGAGAGAAUCCUCUAUUUCUGCUCCCACUCACUAUCUCUAGCACCAGAACACCAAAGCUAUAGACGUCGGAUUUUAUAGAGUAGAAACCAUCAAUUGCAUAUUCUGGAGACAUGUAACCGCUGUAGACCAAUGUGUCAAAAAACGUUUUUAUACGCAAAGAAUCUAGACUUUCUAGUUUCUAUUAGUGUUUUUGAAAAUUCGUAAAAAAGGACUCGUACAAUUGUGUUUUAGGAUACUUACUAUGUUCCGACCACUUUCUUCGUUUUUGCUUUCGUUUCAUUUCCUCCAAAGCUUCUAGCUAGGCCAAAGUCUGAGAUUUUCGGGUUAAAUUCACUGCCUAAUAAAAUGUUACUUGCUUUGAGAUCUCUAUGAAUAACUCUCAAUGUAGAAUCUUGAUGAAGAUAGAGGAGCCCUCGAGCUAUCCCAUUAAUAAUUUCAAAGCGCUUCGACCAGUCUAAUAACAUCCUUCUUCUUUGAUCUGCAAAAUAUCAUAAUUCACAAUUGUCAAAAAAUACAUCGUGCUAGGCUGCUUGCAUAAGCGGACUAAUCGAACUAAAUGCAAGGUUUUUGAGUGGUCAAACCAAAAAUAAAGAAGUCUAAGCUCUUGUUAGGCAUGAACUCGUAGAUCAAUAUCAUCUCGUCUUCUUGAAUGCAGCAUCCAAGAAGCUUCACUAGAUUCCUGUGCUGAAGUUUGGCAAUAUGUGUAACUUCAUUCUUGAACUCGUCGAGUCCUUGUCUAGAACUUUUUGAAAGCCUUUUCACUGCGAUUUCUUGUCCAUCUUCCAUCGUACCCUAAAAUCCAUCAACGUAUGUUAUGACCAAAAUUCAUACUUUGUAGUUUGCACACUACUUGUAUCCAUCAUUCCAUAUUAUGACCAGAAGUACAUGUAUCUAUACAACUUCGAAACUAUGAAGGACUAUCUGGUUUGACCUUAAAGACAGAUCCGAAACCGCCUUCACCAAGUUUGUUUUCAAUUGAAAAGUUACUGGUUGCAGAAACUAUAGUCAUCAAGUCAAAUAACGGUAAUUCCAGAUCCUCCUUUUGGUUGCGACCUAGUUUUCCUGCAAAGACGCAGUGACAGGUGAAAAAAAAUUCCCUAUACAACCGAACUAUGUAGUUUGGAAAGUAGAGAGGCAGAAUAGUGCUACCAACUUACCACCUUUUUGGUGCUGCUUCUUCCAAACAUAAAACAGCAAGGCAAGGCCCAGGAUCAGCAGUCCGAUAGACAACACAGUAGUGCUUAUUAUGAUCCUCAUUUUCUUUGCAUUGGAUUCAGAGUAUUUAGCGUUGAUCUUUGUAUCGUCUUCAUAAUCUACAAAUGAUAUUUUUGAAGACAAAAAAUCUAUGAGGUGGAGAGUAAUAAAUAAAUAAAUAAAUAAUGUAUAAUGUCUAUCAUCCGACUAAUAGUUUCUAGUUUGUGAGACAAUUGUAAAAGAAGAUAUUGCUAAUUGUGUCAAAAUUCACAGUUAAAACUGUCCGAAUUAGUACAAUGUUUCACUUCGUUAUGUCUUGACUUUGUUUCGAGCAUAUGAUUAUGACUAAAUGCAUAGUCACCAACAAGUGCUUUUUACAUACCUUGUUCUGCUGCGGCCAUUCUUAUAUAAAUAUCUUGCCCGUUUUCAGCAAUGUAUCUUAUAUCAAUUAGAUCACCGUACCAAAGCAAGCACCCAGUUCCUCCAUCCCGGAUAUCCAAAUUUGUAUAAGCCGUGCAGGAGCAGUUCUUCAUGCACACCAUCUCACAUUCCUUGAGGUUCGUACUUCUGUUAAACCAGGAUUGUUCUGUGCUAGGCAAUUUCAACCCCGAGUACUUUUGGAACACGUCUCCGGUGCAAUUUAGAGAAGUCUUUCUCACACAACCAUUAGACCAAUCUACCAAAUCCCAUUCUUUCGGAAACUUCGGUGUAAAUCCUUUCAAACAGCUACAAACCGGGGACUUUUCGAUGUUACAUGCACCAUGUACACCACAUAAUGCAUAGUUAUCACAGUUAUCAAUUUGGACUGUUUGGUAAAGAACCCAACCUUUGGUUCUAUCAAUCCAUGUGUAGCGCUGCAAAAGUCCAUGUGAAGUUAACAUCAACCUCGAAAAGAUUGAGCUGUUGUGAAGCUUGUAACUGUAGUACAUUUCAUCAGGCUCAGAAACAAAACUGUACGUGUAUAUAGGGUUUGGAUUUAACUGAGGGUUUCCACAGAACCAGACUCCAUUCCAUGGUCCAGACCGAAAUUUAAUGACCGAACCUUCCCUCAGAAAUAAUUCUGCAUAUCCUUUGGGACCAAGUUGAUUUGUACAAUUGCCUUGAGAAGGAUCCUGAGGACUUUUCCACGAUCUAAGAUGCCAAUUGAAGCCUGUUACUGUGUUCCUACCAAGCUUCAUACCUGGUAAGAAUGUAUCGCCAGGGUAAUCAAAACUUUGCCACAGAAAGUUCUCAGAGUCAUCAUCACUCCUAUCUAUCACGACAAGAUUACCCGAAUCCAAAAGACGUGCCACUGGAUUCUGUGCAGUUUUCGAUGUGUUCGAGGACCAAACUGUGCUCAUGUUGUGGUUGAGGACAAGAAUUCCGGGGUUGGUGACCUUCAAAACGCCGGACAAAUCAGUGAGGGGCGUGUCUCUGUUGGCAACCCAUACAAUGGUUGUAACAGAUAUCUUCUUGUACCAUAUCCCCACGUACCGUCUAUUAGAAGCAUCGGGACUGUAAAAUCCUAGCUCAAACGUUCCACCAGUUGAAACUACAGUCUCACCGUCUCUAAUGGACUGAAAUGUACUUGUGGCGUCAUCAGCUAUGGAGAAUACUGCUGCGAAGAUGAGCAGCAAAGAAGAGUAGAAGAGAAGCAAGCACAUCUUAGUUGAAGCCUUCAAUGGUUUUUUCAUUUAAUUCAUGGGAAGACAAAUUGUCCCUCUACACCCUUCUUACAUGUAUGAUUUCGAAUUUUUCUGUCAUUUUCGACUGCAAUAUUGUGAUUUCGCAUUUUUCAUUAAAUUCAAGGGAAGACAAAUUGUUUUCCAGUGUGAAACUGAGGAAAUGGUUUUCAAUCGGAAGUAGACAUCGGACUCGGUCCAAGAAUGAUAUUGGGGCCUGGCUUCUCUGCUCUCUCCGUUCCCAUUCACUCACAUCCCCUCUGCUUUUUUUAUUAAUGUCAACAUUUUAUAUUAUUAUUUUUUUUUGUCUUAUUAUCUUUAUAAAAAAUUCAAUAUAAAAUGUUGACAUGAUUUAACCGUGACCACACAAAAUAAAAAAAGAUGGAAGUGCAUGAGAACUGGAAGUGCAAAGAAGUCGGGUCAAUUAUAUUGUCUUAGCCUCACAAUUUCCUAUGACAAUUAAGUUUUUUCAUACAGUAGUAAAAUAUCUAAAUUAAUUUGUGGUCAUCCAAUUCCCUCAGCUCAAAGGAAGCUUACGNNNNNNNNNNNNNNNNNNNNNNNNNNNNNNNNNNNNNNNNNNNNNNNNNNNNNNNNNNNNNNNNNNNNNNNNNNNNNNNNNNNNNNNNNNNNNNNNNNNNNNNNNNNNNNNNNNNNNNNNNNNNNNNNNNNNNNNNNNNNNNNNNNNNNNNNNNNNNNNNNNNNNNNNNNNNNNNNNNNNNNNNNNNNNNNNNNNNNNNNNNNNNNNNNNNNNNNNNNNNNNNNNNNNNNNNNNNNNNNNNNNNNNNNNNNNNNNNNNNNNNNNNNNNNNNNNNNNNNNNNNNNNNNNNNNNNNNNNNNNNNNNNNNNNNNNNNNNNNNNNNNNNNNNNNNNNNNNNNNNNNNNNNNNNNNNNNNNNNNNNNNNNNNNNNNNNNNNNNNNNNNNNNNNNNNNNNNNNNNNNNNNNNNNNNNNNNNNNNNNNNNNNNNNNNNNNNNNNNNNNNNNNNNNNNNNNNNNNNNNNNNNNNNNNNNNNNNNNNNNNNNNNNNNNNNNNNNNNNNNNNNNNNNNNNNNNNNNNNNNNNNNNNNNNNNNNNNNNNNNNNNNNNNNNNNNNNNNNNNNNNNNNNNNNNNNNNNNNNNNNNNNNNNNNNNNNNNNNNNNNNNNNNNNNNNNNNNNNNNNNNNNNNNNNNNNNNNNNNNNNNNNNNNNNNNNNNNNNNNNNNNNNNNNNNNNNNNNNNNNNNNNNNNNNNNNNNNNNNNNNNNNNNNNNNNNNNNNNNNNNNNNNNNNNNNNNNNNNNNNNNNNNNNNNNNNNNNNNNNNNNNNNNNNNNNNNNNNNNNNNNNNNNNNNNNNNNNNNNNNNNNNNNNNNNNNNNNNNNNNNNNNNNNNNNNNNNNNNNNNNNNNNNNNNNNNNNNNNNNNNNNNNNNNNNNNNNNNNNNNNNNNNNNNNNNNNNNNNNNNNNNNNNNNNNNNNNNNNNNNNNNNNNNNNNNNNNNNNNNNNNNNNNNNNNNNNNNNNNNNNNNNNNNNNNNNNNNNNNNNNNNNNNNNNNNNNNNNNNNNNNNNNNNNNNNNNNNNNNNNNNNNNNNNNNNNNNNNNNNNNNNNNNNNNNNNNNNNNNNNNNNNNNNNNNNNNNNNNNNNNNNNNNNNNNNNNNNNNNNNNNNNNNNNNNNNNNNNNNNNNNNNNNNNNNNNNNNNNNNNNNNNNNNNNNNNNNNNNNNNNNNNNNNNNNNNNNNNNNNNNNNNNNNNNNNNNNNNNNNNNNNNNNNNNNNNNNNNNNNNNNNNNNNNNNNNNNNNNNNNNNNNNNNNNNNNNNNNNNNNNNNNNNNNNNNNNNNNNNNNNNNNNNNNNNNNNNNNNNNNNNNNNNNNNNNNNNNNNNNNNNNNNNNNNNNNNNNNNNNNNNNNNNNNNNNNNNNNNNNNNNNNNNNNNNNNNNNNNNNNNNNNNNNNNNNNNNNNNNNNNNNNNNNNNNNNNNNNNNNNNNNNNNNNNNNNNNNNNNNNNNNNNNNNNNNNNNNNNNNNNNNNNNNNNNNNNNNNNNNNNNNNNNNNNNNNNNNNNNNNNNNNNNNNNNNNNNNNNNNNNNNNNNNNNNNNNNNNNNNNNNNNNNNNNNNNNNNNNNNNNNNNNNNNNNNNNNNNNNNNNNNNNNNNNNNNNNNNNNNNNNNNNNNNNNNNNNNNNNNNNNNNNNNNNNNNNNNNNNNNNNNNNNNNNNNNNNNNNNNNNNNNNNNNNNNNNNNNNNNNNNNNNNNNNNNNNNNNNNNNNNNNNNNNNNNNNNNNNNNNNNNNNNNNNNNNNNNNNNNNNNNNNNNNNNNNNNNNNNNNNNNNNNNNNNNNNNNNNNNNNNNNNNNNNNNNNNNNNNNNNNNNNNNNNNNNNNNNNNNNNNNNNNNNNNNNNNNNNNNNNNNNNNNNNNNNNNNUCUUCCAAUCCGAAUGGCGAACAAAACUUGUCCCGACAAGUCAUAGAAUUGACGAGCGCCCUUGCACAACAAACCACCUUGGUGAAUCAACUUUUACAACGUACUGAGAUGCAUCGCGCUCACGAUGAAGUUUCCCGGAGUAGUAGAACAAGGGUAGACAAGGAGCCUUUUAAACAGCGUCCUGGAAAGCAGCCAUUCAACCCAUCACAAGUGGAGCAUUCAGACAGUGCACACUCUCGAUUGGGCCCCCGAAAUAGCGUAUACUCCCGUCUUAGCGCGCGGAUGAGCGUGCACUCUCGGUUAGGCCCACGAGCAAGUAUACAUUCACGGUUGGGGCCACGCUUUGAUAAUCAACAUGGGCAACCUUCCAGGCAAAACAUUCAUUCGCGAUUAGGCUCACAAGGAGUAUCCUCCACAUCACAUCGGAGCAGGCAGCCUGACAAACGGAAGGAAACGAUCGUUCAAUCUGGCUCUAGUUCAACCGGUAGCCUGCAAAGAAAUCCCUCGCCUGCUAAGAAUCUAUCUCAUCCAUUGCAGCCACAGCGUAGACGAGCCGAGCGAGAAGAAGAGCAGCCUAGACCGGUAGAAAAAGACCAAGGGCAGCAAAAAGCUCCGCUACCCCAACAAAAGCAAAUCCAAGAAGAGGUAGAAAGGCUUUUUCAAUGAGCGGAUGCGUGAUUUUCGGCGCAACGAAAUGGUUGAUGAGGCACUAAGGCGAGAUAUGACCAACAUGAGCAGGUCACCUUUCGCGGAUGAGAUCGAGCAGGCAGAGCCUCCGCGCAAGUUUAGCAUGCCACACUUCACAUCUUUCAAAGGAGAUGGGGAUCCCGAAAGACACUUGAAGCAUUACCGAAAUGCGAUGGUCCUUUAUCGGAAUAAUGACGCCCUUAUGUGCAAAAUAUUCGCCACUACUUUACAAGGCGAGGCACAAGAUUGGUUUCAUACCUUGCCGGCACGAAUCCAUCCUGAAUUUUGAUGAUCUUUCCUUGGUCUUCACCAAAGAAUACUCAUCUUAUCGAUCGAUCAAGAAGAAGUCCGAUCACCUGUUCAACGUAAAGAAAAACCCAAAAGAGUCGCUUCGCGAUUACGUGAAGAGAUUCAAAGCAGAGAAGGCGAAGAUCGUCGGAUGCGACAACUCGAUAGCAAGUGCAGCCUUCCAAAAAGGACUACCAGCAGACCACCCACUGUUUGGAGAAAUGAUCAUGAAAGAAGACCUAACUCUAGCAGAUUCCUUUGCUCUGGCAGAAAAGCAUGCGCUUUGGGACGAGGCUCGACAAGCAGAAAAGGCUCCCGAACAACCUCGAAAAGAGUUGGCAGCUACUCAAAUGAAGGAUGAAAAACAACCCAACAAGGGCAGGCAGGAGUUCAAGCGCAGGGACCGACCCACGACCAAAGAAGGCCCGAUGACCAACAACUAUUCUAAGUUCUCAAUUCCGAUUCAUCAAAUCCUUCGUGACGUCAAGAAUGAACCAUGGUUCAAGUUGCCGAAGCAGUCAAAAGGAGAUACUUCCAAGUUGGACCACACUAAGUAUUGUGCAUUCCACCGAGGUCCCGGUCACACAACCAACGAUUGCUACACUUGGAAGAACUACCUAGAGAAACUCGUGAAAGAAGGCAAAGUCGAUAGAUAUUUGGACAAGCCAGCUGAGCAGCAAAAAAGGAAUGCAGACGGAGAUGAGGAGCCACCAACUAAGACGAUUCGAAUCAACGGCAUUUUCUCUGAGUCCGAGCACUUAGGGGCUACUAAUAACUCCAAAAAGAGGAAGAUCCAGCAGGCCUUACUAAUCUCACAAGUUCAUGCAGUCGAUACCCAACCUGGACCUAUCAUUGGCUUCACGGAGCAGGAUGCAGAAGGAGUCGACUUCCCACACGACGAUGCAUUAGUAGUAUCUGUCCAACUAGCCCAUGCUAUAGUCGACAGGAUGAUGGUUGACAAUGGAAGUGCGGUCAACCUACUUCAACUUUCAGUCAUUCAGAAGAUGGGCCUGGAAAGUACAAUCAUACGCCGGGCAGAGGUACUUACUGGAUUCAACGGACACACCUCAACUGCCAUCGGUCAUAUCAUACUUGACGUAAAAACACCGCCAGUCGUCUCAAAGCAAACAUUCACGAUUGUAAGCGACCCAUCUCCCUACAAUGGGAUUCUUGGGAGACCUUGGUUGAUCAAGCUGGAUGCUGUCACUUCCGUCAAGUAUCAAAAAAAUCCGAUUCCGCAUCCCGGAAGGAGGAGUCGGAGAGAUCAAGUCUGACCAGGCUUCAUCCCGACGAUGCACUGUGCAAAUGUUAAAAGAAACAAAGAAAAAGACCUUUACCCCCGUAGAGGUUACCGAAGUCCAAAAGGGCAAAGAAAUUGCCAAAUAGCAAUUACAGCAGGUGGAUCGAGAAGAUGGCACCCAAGCAGACAGGAUAGGAUGGAAACCCGAAGAGGACGCCGAAGACAUCAUUCUUGAUCCCCAGCAGCCGGAAAAGACGGCUAAAAUUGGCUCACGACUAAGCCCAGACGAGAAGGAAGAACUCACAAUUUUCCUUAGGAAAAACCGAGAUAUCUUCGCAUGGUCACCAUCCGACAUGCCCGGUAUUGAUCCCAAAGUGGCCUGCCACAAGCUGCACGUCGAUCCAACUGCCAAACCGGUAAUUCAAAAAAGAAGACAUUUCGCUCCCGAACGAGUAGCGAUCAUCGAGGCAGAAAUCGACAAACUAUUGGAGGCCGGUUUCAUAGAAGAGGUAGCACACUCGGCAUGGCUUGCUAAUGUCGUACUAGUCAUGAAGAAAGAGAAGGGCAAAUGGAGGGUUUGCGUAGACUACACUGACCUCAACAAAGCAUGCCCAAAAGACCAUUAUCCUGUCCCCCGGAUUGAUCUAUUAGUAGAUUCAACUUCUGGAAACCAGUUACUUAGUUUCUUAGACGCAUACUCCGGCUACAACCAAAUAGCCAUGCAUGAGCCCGACAAGGAGAAAACUGCGUUCGUGAUAGAGCGAGGCACUUACUGCUACAAGGUCAUGCCUUUUGGCCUCAAGAACGCGGGAGCCACUUACCAAAGGUUAGUAAAUAUGAUGUUCAAAAAGCAAAUUGGGGUAACCAUGGAGGUCUAUGUCGACGAUAUCAUGGUAAAGGGCAAGCAGCGAUCAGAUCACAUUCGCAAUUUAGCAGAAGCUUUCAAUAUCCUUAGAAGGUACAAGAUGAAGCUCAACCCCACCAAGUGCACGUUUGGAGUAUCUUCAGGUCGAUUCCUAGGGUACUUAGUAACCCAACGAGGAAUUGAGGCACAUCCCAAGCAAAUCCAAGCAAUCAUAGAGAUGAAAUCUCUAACUACCUUGAAGGAGAUCCAAAGCUUGACCGGACGAGCAGCCGCCCUCAAUCGCUUCCUCUCACGAUCCACCGAUCGAUGCAAACCCUUUUUCAAAGCUAUCAAGAGGGCACAAAGAAACAAAUGGGAUGAAGAAUGCGAAAAAGCUUUCCAAGACUUGAAGAGUUAUCUCACAUCACCUCCCUUACUAUCCAAGCCGGAAGCAGCGGAGGAUUUAUAUAUUUAUUUGGCAGUUUCCGAGGUAGCAGUGAGCUCUGCUCUCAUACGAGAAGAGCUGGGGGCCCAACUGCCGGUAUUCUACACUUCUAAAGCUCUUCUCGAUGCAGAAACAAGAUAUCCGAAGAUCGAAAAAUUAAUUUUGGCGUUAGUUGUUGCGGCUCGGAAGCUCAGACCCUACUUUCAAACUCAUACAGUCAUUGUUAUGACUCAAUAUCCCUUACGAUCAAUAUUACAUGGUCCGGACGCUUCUCAACGAGUGAUGAAAUGGGCAUUGGAACUUGGCCAAUAUGGUUUAGUUUUCCAACCUCGCACAGCGAUAAAGGCCCAAGCCUUGGCGGAUUUCGUGGCAGAAUUCACACCUAGCCUAGGCAACGCAACAGUGCGGCCCAAACGACGCCCCAGAAGCAGCAGAGAGUACCUUAGCCACACUUACUCCAUCCAAUAAAGAUUUCUGGAACUUGCAUGUCGACGGUGCAUCCAACUAUAAAGGCUCGGGAGCAGGUGUAGUUCUUGUUACUCCAGAUGGCUCAAUGCUCGAGCAGGCGAUCACUCUAGGUUUCAAAGCAUCCAAUAACGAAGCAGAGUACGAGGCUCUACUAGCGGGCCUCCGAAUGGCAAAAGACUUGGCGGUGAAGAAAACUCGCAAUUCAUUCUGAUUCCCAACUAAUCACCAGCCAGGCUACUGGGGAAUACACUGCAAAACACCCAAGGAUGGCACAAUACCUAGAGAAAGUACGCCAGCAGCUUGAAGCAUUUCAGACUUACACUCUCACUCAAGUUCCGCGGGCAGACAAUGCACAUGCAGAUGCACUAGCUGGUUUAGGCUCCGCCCUUGACCACCAAUUCAAACGCUCUAUUCCGGUGGAAUAUCUAGACAAGCCAAGCAUAGAGAUGGAGUCGAUAGCCGAAGUGUCACAGGUUAGUGUAACUCCCACUUGGCAAAGUUCAAUUAUAGACUACUUGGUCAACGGCACAUUACCCACAGAAAGAUUGGAGUCAAGGAAGCUUCAAAUUAAGUCGGCACGCUACUAUAUGUGGAAUGGCAUUCUCGUUCGAAGAUCCUACACCGGACCACAUCUCCGCUGCCUGGCACCUCCCGAUGACUUGAAGGUUCUAAGCUCAAUCCACGAAGGCGUUUGUGGGAAUCACUCUGGAGGUCGAUCCUUAGCCCAAAAGGCUCUUAACGCAGGCUAUUACUGGCCUACCAUGCACCAAGAUGCUAAGGAGUUAGUACAAAAAUGCGACCGUUGCCAACGCUACAAACCAGUACCAGCACUACCCGCCAGUGAGCUACACCCGCAAACGAGUCCUUGGCCAUUCAUGCAGUGGGCAAUCGACCUGGUAGGGCCUAUGCCGCCUGCUACGGGGGGCAGAUGCAUGAUGAUCGUGGCAACCGACUAUUUCACCAAAUGGGUAGAAGCAGAACCCAUGACAACCACAACUCAGACGGAUAUAGAGCGCUUUAUAUGGAGGAACAUCAUUUGCCGAUUUGGCAUCCCUCAGUCCAUCGUCACUGACAACGGUCCUCAAUUUGUGGGAAAAGAUUUGGCAAAGUUCUUCCAAAAAUACGGCAUCAAACAACACAUGUCCACACCAAGAUAUCCUCAAGGCAAUGGGCAGGCUGAAGCAUCCAACAAGACGAUUCUCGACUGCCUCAAGAAAUCCCUCACCGACAAAAAGGGAAAAUGGCCAGAUGAGCUCCCAGGAUGUUUAUGGGCAUAUCGCACCACCAAAAGACGAGCAACCGGUGAAACUCCUUUCUCUUUGGCGUUUGGUUCGGAGGCAAUCAUACCUCCCAACAUCAUCGUGCCAAGCAUCAACACUCUAUUGCUAAACGUUGAGCGGAACAGUAAAGAAAUGGCCACAGAUUUAGAUCUGGCAGAAGAAAGGCGCGAACAAACCAUCACCCGCAUCGCAGCCUACCAGCAGCAGCUCAUUUCCAGCUACAACAAAAGGGCCAAGAUCCGGCAGUUCCAACCUGGAGACCUAGUCCUAAGAAAAGCUUUCAUCACUGCCCGCAGAGAAGGCUCGAAAAAAAUGGACCCCAUCUGGGAAGGUCCUUACAAGAUCAACAGAGUCGGCGGCAAAGGCAGUUAUACUCUUGCUACCAUGAAUGAUAAAGAGAUCGAGAAGCAAUGGAACGCCUACAAUUUGAGGAAAUACCAUGUGUGACUUCACACUAUAUCAAGACCCGAAGACUCGAGCAUCUCAACGGUCACCACCUCGUAAACCGAGGACUAUCCAAUCAUCAUGCAGUUUUUGCAACCAAGUUAUUCGCUCAUUUUAUUUUUCAAUAAAGAAUUCAAAAGUAAUUUGUAAUUUGGCUUUAAUAUAUGUCUACAACAACUUAUUUCUUUCUGCAUUUCAAAAGAAAAUUACACCCCCCAAGGGACCAACUGUGCUCUCCAAGGAGGGAGGAUAAACUCAACACUCCGAAUAUCCAGACGUGGAUGAGCUUGGCUGCCCUAGAAUGACUAGGUGCAUGAUGGCUUGCGCCGGGAUUCCUAGAAGUAGCCACAAUGGUCUGUUUCAAGGCUUAGCUAGUUGAAGGAUUAUGGGUCUAUCGGCUUAAUCCGCAGGGAACCGGGCCCUAGAUACGGAGGGGGCACAUUAUGCAGCACACCCAAUGGGCGGCUGCCCUGGAAACCUAAAGCUGCUACCGAGUGCACUAAGGUAGCCUACGGAUUUCCAGAAGACUGCCUACGGCUUGCCCUUCGGGCAGUAGAACCACGCUAGACUUAUGCAACCGCACAUUAUUGUGAAAGGUUAAACAAGUUAGCGUGCACACACGAAGAUUUUAUCCACUACCGACAUGCUACGUAGUUGAUAAGCUUCACCUCUGUCAAACGCAGAAUAACUUAUACCAAAUCCUAAAGUGUUGUGAUACUUGCUACACGGCCUACGGAAUUGGAAAAAAUCCAAGGUUGAAUAACCAAGUGGUUACGCGGAUUCGUCUGCUUCUGUAAGUAAGGCAUCCGGCUGCCAACCCUAUGGUUAAUAACUUUGCAGAAGUUUCUACAUCAACACCUACGGUUGCAUAGGCUAUGUGGGCCUGUCUACUUAUAGAAAAGUAGCACGCCUGCCACUGGCUUAUAAGGUCUAAAGGUUAAAAAAAAAAAUGGGAAAAGCAAAAGAAGCGAGUUUAUUAAAUUUUAUAGCAAAAUUGAUAAACAACAAGCAAAUACCAAAAGAGUUCAAGCAAAAGCAACAAAGGAAAGAAAAGGAAACCCUAAAAGCUACCUAGAAGACUACUCUUCGGUAGUUUGGACAUCUCCCAACUGCUCGGUUGUUACACCUUCAGCAGCCUUGGUGUUCUCAGCAGCGGCAUCCUCCGGACCUUUACCCUCGACUGUUCCAGCUUGGGUAUCAACUCCUCCAGCUAUUUCACCGAUAGAAGACUCAAAGGUAAAAUCGAGCAAGUCUUCUGGGGAAAUAGAGAAGGUCUCGAAGUCUUUACCGGAAAACUCAAAGUCAGACGGCCGCCCAUAGAGAUGAUCUACAUAGCCCAGCUUGUAGAAAUCAGAUUGGUUCUGAAUAAGCGAAGCCUCGAAACCAUUUUUCUCACUCUUCAACUGCUUAUUCUCCUCAAACAGGCAAGCACGAACUCGCUGCAACUCCUCAAUUUCUUUCUUAAGAUUGUCGUUGGUCUUCAAAACACCUUGAAGUUCCGACACUUGAGGCUCAAGCCUGUCAGCAACCUCUUUGAAGUGGAUCGCUUGGUUGUAAGUAGCAAUCAAUUCUUCAUCCUUUGCAUAAGCAGCGGAGCGAAGUUCAGAUAUGGAGCGUUCAAGAUCUCGAAUCUGAGGUAUGUAACGCUCGAUUUCCUUCUCUGCACUUUCAUUCUUUGUUUGGACCGCAUCAAACCUAGUCUUCAAAUCCAUGAUCUCCUGGUGAGCGGCCUCAAGCUGCUGAGAAGUGGGGUCAGAAGUAUGAGAUUCCUUCAAAGCAGCAAGCUCAGAUUCCAAUUUUUUGAUUUUUUCAACCGAGGAAUAAGCUUCGGCAGCCAUAGUUCUUGCCAUCUCUUUAGCAGCCUUGGUGUCCUCUUGGUCAAGGAACAUAGACUCGGCUGCCAGAAUUGUUGUUUUCUGCAUCAUGGCUAGCAGAGCAGUCUUCCUAUACUCGGGUGUAUGCUUUGCAAAAAGACUCGGACCAACAAUCUCUUUGACGCCAUCAACAAACUGGGCGCAUACAUCCAUGUCUUCAAGAAGAUCUGGUUUCAAAAGAGCACAAAUCUUAGCAGCCUCCUCAGAAACGGCCUUGGCGGAUUCUUCAAGCCUGCCUGAGCGAGCAGCUUCAUUCUUAUCAGCAGACGAGAUGGUUGCAGCAGCGGAAGAAGCAGUAUUCGGCGCCACUUUAGCAGACAGGGGCACCUUAUCACUCUUCAUAGUAGCAAGUCUCUUCAAGGGUAAGUCAGGUUUAGUCCCGGACGGACGUUUUGGCACAAACUUCGGUACCAAAGGCACGGAAGAACUUUUACGCUGAGCAAUUUUUUCAGCAAUCGAGCUAGCAGCCUUCGAAGCAAUAGGCGUUACUGGCACAAAUGUAGCAGUUCGUUCUUUCUCGCCCUUAGAGGAAGUCAGGUCAAUCACAAUCUUGGGAGCAGCCGGAGAAUCCCCACGAGCAGUCUUCAUUUUCUUCUCAGCAGGUAUCUCUUGAGCAGGCGGGGAAUGUUUCUUUUUCCCACCUUCAUUGGUAGUAGGCUCCACCACAGUGAUAGGACGAGCCAUCGCGUCUGCCUUGAUCCGUUUUAUUUCUUCUUCUGGGGGGUAGUCCACCUUUUUCCCUACGAAGAGGACUAAGCAGCCAACGCCACUCACGAUACUCGGAAGGAAUACCCAGAGCGACAUGCACUUUUUUCAUAUCUGGAGAAACCCUAGGAGUUGAGCCAAAUUCCGAAUCUACAAAAAAAAAGAAAAAAAAAAAAAACAGAAGACAAUCAGAAAAUUGAAGAAUGAUUUGGCACUAAAGCAAAGCAGCCGAAAAGACUAAGCAGUCUGCUUACCAGAUAUGAAGACCGUUGAUACACGCAGCUCGGGAGAAGAAUCAGAUUCCCAUUCUCCACUUAUCUCCAAAGUCUCUUUGGCCCAAUCAUGAUCUCCUUUACUCGAAUUAUCAAAAAGCUUAUGACGGAUUCGCAGUUGUCCAACUCCAUCAAUACGACCUAUGUCAAAGAAAUACCAAAAUUCGUUGGUGGUUAGUCCCAAGUCAAAGAAUUGGUUCAAAUUGUGGAACCCCACCAUCACUCGGACCGCAUUCGGGGAACAUUGGGCAGGCGCACAUUUCAUAGAGCAAAGCACUUCUUGGAAGAAACGCGGUAUAGGGAAAGUAAACCCUAACACAAAAUAGUAAGGAUGGAACUUGAUAGUUCUCCGAGUUCCACUGCAUGGUUCUCGGCUGCUACCAUCUUUAACUCGUCUCACACGCACUCCCGACGGAAUGGCAUGCCAAUACGUUUCAAGAAAAUCUCUAAACAAAUUGUCGGAGCUAAUCUUGAUGUGAGCAGCUUUGAAGUAGCCAAUCUUGCUCAAAGACCCGCCUUGACGGUACAGCGGGGGCACACCAUCAUCAUUCUUACGGCUCGAGGAAGACAUGCUUGAAAAUUCUACAAAAGUACAAGGAAGAUUUGUUAGAGAGUUGUUAAAAAAAAAAAAAAAAAAAAAGAAAAGAAACAGCUCUCGGCAGCAAAAAAAAAAAAAAAAAAAAAAAAAAAAAAAAAAAGAAUUAGGCUUAAAGCCGCAGGACCAGCAAACCUGCCAGGCCUCACGGCCUGGCUUGCUUCAACGCCCAGCAAGAAAGAAAAAAAUAUAUAUAUUUUCAUGGCAUUACCAUGCCAUGGUUCACCAGAUCAACCUAUAACAAGUCUCUGAUUCCCAUCAGGCCAAGAAUCAAGAUCCAAAGAUUCCAGAAAAUCAAGAAGACAAGAAAAAUAAUUUUUUCUUACUUGGAAGCAACGAAGAGCGAUCCUUUACACGGGCAAGACGUAGAAGAUUGCUAGAGGAGGGGAACAAAUAUCCUCUAAGCUCUCUUUUUCUCUUGUAAGGAUGAAUAAGUUUCACUCUAAAAGUUGAUUUAACAAUCCACUUAAGGUGGACUUAAAUAAGCUUUGGGGAAAUUUAUUUCCUUUUCCUAGAAGGAUUUAAUUUCCUAUUGAAAGAAAGAAUCAACAACAAAAUAGGAAACAGUUCAGAAUUUCCUAAAGCAAGAAAAUCUCUACACCUAUUGCCCUUUUCUGCAAACAGCUCAACAGGUGUGGGGGCAUUUGUGGAGCCAAAAAUAUUCACUAGGCGACACGUGGAUUUGUGAACGAAAGAGGACAAAAAUACCCUUGAGGUAUAUCGGGAUUCCUACGCGCAAGUAGUGGGUAAUCAUCCUCAACCAAUUCAAAAAAUGCUCCAGAAGAGGUAACUAAUUCCAAAUUAUCUUAUUUUAGGUAAUUAUUUCCAAAACUUAAUUUCCCUAAUAUAUUAUUUAGUUAAUUAAUUAUCUAAAUAAUAUAUUCUUCCCAUAUCUCCUAAAAUCAUCCCUUAAUUACCAAUUUGAAACAUCCACUCAAACCUAAAAAAUGGGAUAGGGCCGGCUACCCCAUUCAAAGUCUAUUCCAUCACCUUUUUUUUCUACCUUUUCCACCUUUCCUUCCCUUUUAAAUUAGCCAAUCAAUACCAUAAAUAAUAAAAUAUCUCCUUUCAUAUUUAAUUAGCCAAUUAAUUGGCUAAUUAAACCUAAAAUUAAACCUAAAAAUCCCAUAGUAACCGGCCACAUUCCCUCCCAUCUUUUCCCUACCUUUUUUUUUUUAUUUUCCUCCACUUUAUUACUCAAAUAAAGCUAAUCAUUUAAGACCCCAUUCAUUUCUAUUUUAUUAGCCAAUAAAGGGGCUAAUAAAAAACCACAAAUUGACUAAGAAAAGGGAAGGGUGUGGCCGGCCCUUCCUUGGUGAAAAAUGGGGAAGCCUAAUCCUAUAAAUAGGCUCCUAUUCUCACCAAAAAUUCAUUCCAAACCUCUUGCAAAAAUUCCAAAACACUCUAAACACUAUUUCUCUCUAAAUUUCUAACUUUGGCAUCGGAGGUUCUUCGGCCAAAGCCCCCCCCCAUUCAUCGUGGGCGCGUGAGGCUUUUGGCCUUAACCUAAGGUGCUAGUUGUUUUGUAGGUGCAAAAUCGUCCAAGAUCGAAGAGGAGAAAAUUUGCAUCCACAAUACAGAUUCUCUAAUUUGAUGGAUUAGUAAUAAGAGAUCCGGAGAUGAUCAAUUUCCUAUUUAAUUGAAAGGACUCUCCCUGCCAAGAAUAUUUUAAUGUGAAACGAACACAAUUCAGUAUAAUAAGUGUUAUAAUAUAAAAGGUUAGUGUGUCGAGAAAAUUUUUAAUGUGCAGCUAAGACGGUCCAGCACAUCAAGUAUUAUAAUAUAAGUGGUUAAAAUUAUUUUCAGCAUCCUACUUGUAUUAUGACGUUUAUUGUACCAAUAUUGUGUUUCCAACACAAUAAGAAAUAAUACCUCCAUGCCCGGGUUGUCUAUGUAUUCACGCCACGCCACUAGCAAUAACAUGGAUGUCUUGCAAAGAGCCCGUGCUUCAAAGCCAAAAAAUGUUGCAUGCCAAGUAACUUUUUCACUUGCUUGAGCAGGUGGUAUAUGCCUAAAGAGGGAAUUAGGUCUUGUUUCGUUUGCAGGAGGGUUUCUUACAUUUCUUCUAUUAUAGCGUUUUAGUUCAAUAAUUUGUUGUUAUGAACAACAAAAUUUGGACAUAACCAUGCAUUAUUGAAGAAGACGACACGUGACAAUGAACUUGUUCCAUAUAAGUCAUUCUCCCAAUUUAGACUUUUAUGAUUACUUUUGGAGAAAGCACGCGUGUUGUCCAUUGUGUGUGUAAUGCUUUGGAUUUUUGUGUAUGAAUUGAGAAAAUAUUGUUCAAUUUCAUGAUUUAAAUAUCUUGGAAUGUUGAAUUGUUUGUUUUAACUUCUAUAGUAAUAUUUGCGCAUUUUUUGGUGUCGAUUUUGUUGGGGAAAAUCGAUGAAAUGUGGAGAAAUGAUGAAGAAGUGUCGAGCCACAGAUUUCGGGGUUUUUAGAAUGGCCGUCAUGUUGAGAGAGAACAUGAGUAAAUUGGUAUUUAAUCUUUUUGUUCCAUUAUGCCUCUCGCCUAUCUAACGCGAAACGAACAACUGUCACUUUCAGCAUGCGCGUACCAAACGUAAAACAAUACCUCCAUUCCAUCCUGUCUCAUUCUAUCUCAUUUCAUCCUGUCUACGUACCAAACACUCCCUAUGACGUGGAUAGUACUCAUAGUGAAUUUCAAGUUUGGAAUUUUAUCUCAUAAGGCAUACAUGCUUGAAUAGUGAACUAUCUAUAUUGAUAUCGUAAUUUUAUUUCAAUGCGGUAGCAAGUAUAUCCAUAUACAUGAUUUAUAUCUAGCGACACAACCCCAACAUAGUCAUCCUUAAAUUUUGAUCAUUAACUUUGUCGGACUGGGUGGGUAAAAGACGAUAAUUUAUUGGAUUUGAGACCUCUGUCAUUAGGUAGGUAUGUGUACCGGAAUUCGGAUCUCUCUUGUAAAUUUGAGGAAUUUUUUAGUGUGUCGAAAUUCUAACCCGGUACAUCAAGUCUCAAGAUACAAAUGGUUGAAAGUCAUUAGUUAGGUAUGUAUAUAGGAAUUUAGAUAUCUCUCUAAGAUUUGAGAAAUUUUUAGUGUGCCAAAAUACAUUCUAGUACAUUAAGUGUCAAAAUACAAGUGGUUGAAUUUUUUUUUUUAUGUAUCCAACCAAUUAUUAUGACAUUUGAUAUAUCGAGUCGUAUUCUAGAUACAUUGAAAAAAUCUUUCUUAUGAUUUUAGAGAUAAGGUAAUAAAGUAUUGAUCAUGUGAGCAAGAGGAGUAAAGUAAUUGUGUUACCACAAAAGGAAUGGUAUUGCAUUUGGAAUAUAGAGAAGAUAAUAAUGUAGCUUUUAAAGAUGUGGCCAAAUGAUAAUUGAGAGGGAUGAUGAGGUUGAUGCCCCUAAUCCUUGUGAAAGCAUUGAAUAGGGGUGCCAAACAUGCAUGUGGGAUGAAGCUAGAUUGCUCCACAAAGUGUGAAACUUUGUCCAAAAAUGGUGUCCCACCAUAAAGAAUGGGAUUUUGUUGGUCUCUUUGUUUUGACAUAUGAAAUUGACUGGAUAUUUAUAAAAAUACUUUUGUGACGGUAUAUAUACUUAUAAGGAAAUUAUUUUAGUCUGAUUAUUACCCAAAAAGUCUUGUAUUUAACAUCCAUAAUUUUUGCAAUGGCGGCAAUUUCAUGAUAGGAUUUUUAGGUACAUGCGCAAAGAGUUUAAAAUCAUACAAAAUACUUGCAAGAGAACAAAGUUGUUGUAGUAUAAAUGGCUCAAGUAAGGUCGUUUUCCACAUGGAUUAUUUAAAACAAUUUAUGCAAAACCCAAAUCUUAGUUAAUUAUUUGAAAACAAAAAUUGGAAAAGGUUGAUUUUGAAUUUAAAAAUAAUAAAAACGAAAUUUAAUAAAAGUAUUUUAAGAAAAACAACUAAUAACCAAUUAAAAAGGAAACAAAGCAAAGAGAAAGGGUUUUGAGGAAUAAACUUGGAAAAGCACUAGGUUUCCGUCAUCCCCUUAAUAAUCCUAUGUAGAUUUACUAAUUACUUUUGAAUUAUCCAUGCAACUUUGAAGGUUAGGUUUUCCUAAAAUAUAUUAUACUUGUGACAUUCAAGUUAGAACGUAUAUCAAACAUGCAAUCCAUCUGUGGCAUUCAGAUCAAAUAUAAACAUGCAUGACUCAUUAUACUUUGUGAAAACCCUUUGAAAAAACCAUGCAACCCCUAAGACGUGGCAUUUGCCUUAGGUGAAAUUACAAUUAUCAAUCACAAUAUGCAAUACUCAAUUCCCCGGUGGCAUUCCGAUCGAAUUGCAUCCAAUUACUUAUCUAAACAUCUUAAUGUUCACGAAUCAUUAAGACACAAAGACAGUUUAAAUCACAAUGAUUAAUAAUUCAAAGCAUGCAUGAAUAAUAUCAUAAGCAAUUAAAUAAAAACUACAUAUUCAUGCUAAAGCUCAAGGCAUCGCCCUAGCAAAAGAAAAUUAGUUACGCAUAUUCAUAAUUAAAAUCAACAUAAUUGUAUUAAACUAGAAAAAAAAAAUGAAAACAUCUUAAAAGUAUAAGUCUUGAAAUCUCUAAAGCUUUGCCCAAAGUCUUCUCUCCAAUCUUGUGUAUGUUCCCCUAGUGCUAGCCAAAAUGUCUUAUUUAUACUACUCUAAAUAAAAUCAUCCUAGUAAAACGUCUUAGAAAAAGACUAGGAAACCAAAUAAAUUGAAAUAAAAUAGGAAAUAUAAUCCUAAAUGGGAAAUUUUAUUUAAACCAAUGUAACCUAUUUCUGUACCCAACUUACUCUUGGCACCCAUUUGAUUUUUAACUAAACUAUUAAUAUCUCUUUAAACCCAAUUUAAUACUUAAUAUAUCCCCAUAAACCCAAUUCAAUAUGUGGAUUUAUUUUUACACCCAUUUGAUUUUUAACCCAUUUGAUACACGAACACCCAUUUGAUACGAACACGCCAAGAGAUACACGAACAUUGCAAUUUCUGAGGGUGUAUGAAGGAGCAAAGACUGCUGUAAGAACUCAUGAAGGACAAACCGAAAGCUUUCCCAUAACUGUAGGAUUACAUCAAGGCUCAUCCUUAAGUCCUUACCUUUUUGCGUUGGUAAUGGAUGAGUUAACAGGACAUAUUCAAGAUGAUAUUCCUUGGUGUAUGCUUUUCGCAGACGAUAUAGUGUUGAUAGAUGAAACUCAAGAAGGGGUAAAUGCAAAGCUUAACCUUUGGAGAGAAGUGUUGGAAUCUAAAGGUCUUCGCCUAAGCCGAUUAAAGACAAAAUAUAUGGAGUGCAAGUUCAGUGCAAAUGGAGGCCAAAACGAGUUAGGGGUGAGGAUCGGAGAUCAAGAAAUACCAAAGAGCGACCGUUUUCGUUACCUAGGAUCUAUCUUGCAAAAGAACGGAGAAUUAGAUGGAGAUCUCAACCAUAGAAUACAAGCUGGAUGGAUGAAGUGGAAGAGUGCAUCCGGCGUGUUGUGUGACCGCGAUAUGCCACUGAAGCUCAAGGGAAAAUUUUAUAGGACGGCAAUAAGGCCGGCGAUGCUGUAUGGCACAGAAUGUUGGGCGGUGAAGCAUCAACACGUACACAAAAUGGGUGUAGCGGAGAUGAGGAUGCUUCGUUGGAUGUGUGGGCACACGAGAAAGGAUAAGAUUAGGAAUGAGGAUAUCCGGGGUAAAGUAGGAGUAGCCGAAAUUGAAGGAAAGAUGAGAGAAAAUCGGUUACGGUGGUUUGGACAUGUGCAAAGAAGGCCUACUGACGCUCCGAUUAGAAGAUGCGACUAUGGGACAGAGGUUCAGGGUCGAAGGGGUAGAGGAAGACCCAGGAAAACUUUGAGAGAGACCCUAAGAAAAGACUUAGAGUACUUGGAUCUAACGGAGGACAUGACACAGGACAGAACACAAUGGCGUUCUAAGAUUCAUAUAGCCGAUCCCACUCAGUGACUUGGAUUUUCCAAGUCUCCAACCGAGAAGUUGUCCUCGCUCGGGAAAUUAAGGGAACACUACCUCAACCUACAUGCUCUACUCACAAAGCUCCAACAUACAAGCUUCAACAAAAGAAAAUUCAAAGAACUUAGCGAAGAAGGCUUUGGUGAUUUAACACAAUACGUUGAAAUGAAGGGAAGCUUAUUUAUUGAUAUCCCCGAUAAAUUACAAAUAUGUACAUAUACUUGAGUCAAAAUAAACAAACAAGAGGGAGCCUUCACAAAGGUUGCUUAGGAGAAGUCUCGGCAGUCGGUAGAGCCCCAGAAAGAGAAGGCACCGGAGGGGGAUCAUUCGGAGCCUCAGUACUGGACAGAACCCUAGAAGGAGGAGGCAUCAGAGGUUGAUCAUUUGGAGCUUCAUUACGCGGUACAGCCCCAGAAGACGAAGGCAAUAAAUGCCUUUGGAACAAACCCACAAAUCUCUGAUGAUCAAGUAAAACCUGACCAUCAGAUUCCUUCAUCUGGUCAAGCUUCCUCUUCAUGUUUGUAGCAUAGUCAUGUGCGAGCCGGUGCAACUGUUUAUUCUCAUGCUUGAGCCUUCUAAUCUCCUGCUUGAGACUCAUCACUUCAGCCGCCAAUGAUUCAACUUGGCGGGUUCGAGCAAAUAGGCGUUGGGCCAUAUUAGACACAGAACCUGCACACUGAACACUAAGAGCCAGAGAAUCCUUAACAGCCAACUCAUCAGACCGUUUGGAAAGUAGUCUGUUAUCUUUGGGAGUGAGAAGGGUUCCUGGCCACUACCGCAGCGGUCAUAUCAUUCUUCAUCACGGAAUCCCCAACGGUAAGAGGACCAGUAGGGGAGACGAAGGAUGGGCGCCAUAUGUUGUCUGGAGAAGGCGGGGCUGCCUCUUCAACAAGGUUCAAGUCAAAACGACGGUCGGAGGGGCCAGACAUUUUCAAAGGUGUAGAAAAGAGAAGAGGUCGGACAAAUCAAGAUCUUAGAAGUGCAAGAAUGGAGCUUCUACUGGUGGAUAUUCAAGUGUGCUUUGGAACUUAAUGUCAGCCUCUAUAAAAAUCUGCACUCGACGAAGCUUCAGAAAUCGAAGAGGCUUUUGCUUUCUCAAAAGCUGGGCUGCUCAGAGACCACGAGGGUCGAUCUCAGAAAUCGAAGAGGCGUUUGCUUUCUCAAAAGCUGGGCUGCUCAAAGACCACGAAGGCCGAUCUCAGAAAUCGAAGAGGUUUGCUUUCUCAAAAGCUGGGCUGCUCAGAGACCACGAGGGCCGAUCUCAGAAAUCGAAGAGGUUUGCUUUCUCAAAAGCUGGGCUGCUCAGAGACCACGAGGGCCAAUCUCAGAAAUCGAAGAGGUUUGCUUUCUCAAAAGCUGGGCUGCUCAGAGACCACGAGGGUCGAUCUCAGAAAUAGAAGAGGCACCUACUUUUCCAGCCUUGUCAGCACCUGUCACACGCACACUCAGCUUUGCGGAAAUUAUGGGCAUUCUGUCGAAGAUUUCUGGCGAAGUAGAAAGCACAUGAAUCGUACUGUUCAAUCACCCACUUCCCACACGCAACAGUAGCUCAUGGGUACCACAUAUAACUUUGCCAAAGUCCUCUGACAAAGUUGAGACUACUUUUCCAGCCUUGUCAGCACUUGUCACACGCACACUCAGCUUUGUGGAAAUUAUGGGCAUUCUGUCGAAGAUUUCUGGCGAAGUAGAAAGCACAUGAAUCGUACUGUUCAAUCACCCACUUCCCACACGCAACAGUAGCUCAUGGGUACCACAUAUAAACUUUGCCAAAGUUCUCUGACAAAGUCGAGACACGUGAAGCUUGCAACUCUCACUACAUCGCUCUGACCAAGAAGGGUAAAAGAAUAGCAAAGAAACAACACUAACAAAGUUUAGACACAUAAAUUUUGACGGCCUAGCUACCAUAUUAUUACCCACAAGGGUAAAGGAACAGUACCACUGCUGGAUAAUUGGAAAGUCCCGGUAUGUCAACCUCUGUGCUUCAUGGCAAGGUAGACUAGCAAACAUGCCCAACCUUUACUCACAUUCGAGAAAACACUCCCAACAAGAUUGCUUGCCCCAAAAUCGAAGAGGCAUCGCCCUCCGAAUCUCGAGAGCCAGACUCCCAACAUGAUUACUUUCUCAAAAAUCGAAGAGAGGGUAAAGGAACAGUACCACUGCUGGAUAAUUUGAAAGUCCCUGUGUGUCAUCCUCUGUGCUUCAUGGCAAGGUAGACUAGCAAACAUGCCCAACCUUUACUCACAUUCGAGAAAACACCCCCAACAAGAUUGCUUGCUCCAAAAUCGAAGAGGCACCGCCCUCCGAAUCUCGAGAGCCAGACUCCUAACAUGAUUACUUUCUCAAAAAUCGAAGAGAGGGUAAAGGAACAGUACCACUGCUGGAUAAUUGGAAAGUCCCUGUGUGUCAACCUCUGUGCUUCGUGGCAAGGUAGACUAGCAAACAUGCCCAACUUUUACUCAUAUUCGAGAAAACACUCCCAACUCCCAACAUGAUUACUUUCUCAAAAAUCGAAGACACCGCUCUCCGAAUCUCGAGAGCCAGACCCCCAGCAUGAUGAUUGCUUUCUCAAAAAUCGAAGAGGCAUCGUUCUCCGAAUCUCGAGAGCCAGAUCCCCGACAGGAUUGCUUGUUCGAAAACCGAAGAGGCACCACUUUCCCAACUUCAAGAGCCGGAUCUCCUUGGAUAAAGCUUGUCUGUAAUCUUCACACGCAACAUCAGCUUUCCAGAUACCACAGACCACUUUUUCAAAGUGCUCUGACAGAGUUAAAACUUGUGAAGCUGGCAGCUCCCACUACCGUGCUAUGACCAAGCAGGGUAAAGGAAUAACAUUAUUACUUGAUGUUAGGGAAACUCCUAUAUAUGUCGACCUCCAUUCCCAACGGACAGGCAGACCUGCAAAAAUGCUCAACCCUUCCUCUUAUCUGAGAGGGCACUCCCAACGAAGCCUUUCGAAAUAUUCAGCUUUCUUUCCCCCGAUAAUACCUCUGUAAACAAGCUAUACUAGAGCAAGAAUAUCUCAUAUCAUCAGGGUUAAAAGCAAGAGUAUCCCAUAUCAUGCUUUUUCCCUGUCUUUUCCUUUGGCCUGUUUCUUACCUGCAAGACAAGGAGAAAGAGAGCAAUCAGUCAGCACUUGGAAUCAAGCUUCCAACCAGGAACUGACUGCCUGGAACCCCUUACCCUGGCAUUGCUCUCGAGUACUCAUCUUCAACAUCUUAUGCUUCCAAGGAAGAUACCGCAUCUGCCUAAGGAACAGAUAGGGCAAGUGAAAAGGAUACAAGGAAGCAUGUGGAGACAAGCGUAACAGCACACGUGCCGAUAUAUCCACUACUCUGUCAAAAGCAAAAGUAUCCCAUAUCAGCAGGGUCGAACGUACUCUAGAUUUGAUGGACUUGUUUUGACCCUCAAAUUCUUCAGUCGGCCUUAUACUUUAGAGGAAACCAGAAAACCCUCCAGCCCAGUUCAAGAAUAAGCCUGUGGAAAGUUACUUCUUCAAAAAGCAAAAGUAUCCCAUAUCAUCUCUUCUCAUUUUUCUUCUCUUUAUCCUUCAUGCUGCCUGCAAGAUAGGGAGAAUGUGAACAAUCAGCCGGAGCUCUGAUUGCUUACCUUGUCUGUUACCUCUUUCAGCAGAUCCCCUAGCUCGGCGACUUGGGGGACUCCUACUACAUGGUUUGUAUCGCGCUUGACCAAGCCUGAAACUACAAGUAAGCUUCAAGUGACAUUGAUACAUUACCUUGUGCAUCUCCACCAGUUACAGAUACCACCCCUGGAUGGAGGAAGAGUACUUCCAGAGAAGAUUCCACAUCUACCUAUGAGACAGAUAAGGAAAGUCAAGCCGAUACCACACUCCGGGACUUAGAAGUUUCGUGGUUACGAGAUCAUUCUCCCACAAUAUUUCCUAAUGUCAUUUGUACUAAAUCAUUCACUUGUACUCCCUAAAGGAGAGCUUGAACCUAUGUACUUGUGUAAACCCUUCACAAUUAAUGAGAACUCCUCUAUUCCGUGGACGUAGCCAAUCUGGGUGAAUCACGUACAUCUUGUGUUUGCUUUCCUAUCUCUAUCCAUUUAUAUACUUAUCCACACUAAUGACCGGAGCAAUCUAGCGAAGAUCACAAAAAGUGACCGUUUUCGCUACCUAGGAUCUAUCUUGCAAGAGAACGGAGAAUUAGAUGGAGAUCUCAACCAUAGAAUACAAGUUGGAUGGAUGAAGUGUAAGAGUCUAUCCGGCGUGUUGUGUGAUCGUCGUAGGCCACUGAAGCUCAAGAGAAAAUUUUAUAGGACGGCAAUAAGGCCAACGAUGUUGUAUGGCACAAAAUAUUGGGCGGUGAAGCAUCAACACAUACACAAAAUGGGUGUAGCGGAGAUGAGGAUGCUUCGUGGGAUGUAUGGGCACACGAGAAAGGAUAAGAUUGGGAAUGAGGAUAUCCAAGGUAAAGUAGGAGUAGCCAAAAUUGAAGGAAAUAUGAAAGAAAAUCGGUUCCGGUGGUUUGGACAUGUGCAAAGAAGGCCUACUGACGCUCCGGUUCGAAAAUGUGACUACGGGACAGAAGUUCAGGGUCGAAGGGGUAGAGGAAGACCUAGGAAAACUUUGGAAGAGACCCUAAGAAAAGACUUGAUUACUUGGAUCUAACGGAGGACAUGACACAAAACCGAGCGCAAUGGCGUUCUAGGAUUCAUAUAGCCGACCCCACUUAGUGGGAAAAGGCUUUGUUGUUGUUGUUGUUGUUGUUUGUUGUUGUGGUCACGUUUUGCUCAAGAGGAAGUCGAAUGUCCUAUAUUGAAAAUAUAAAGCAAAGUAUCAAAAUUUUACCAAAAUAAUUACCAAAUUAUACUAAGAAUAGGAUAAAAUACAUAAUAUAUUAUUGACUCAUCAAGGACGAUUAGGUAUUGAUUUCGUCACAAAUAUUUAUCAUCACUAGUGAGUCGAAUGUAAAAUUUUAUCCCAAUCAAAUGCUAAACUAAUAAUUAAUUGACGAAUGUGGCAAUCUUAUAAUUCUCAGAUUUUUUGUUUCAAAUUUUUAUGGGCCAUUUGAUAACAUUGUUUUCAUAUUUUUGGUAAUUUCACACAUAUGAGAAUUAAAAUACAAUAAAAUUAGGGAGAGCUGUGAUAUUAAUGGUGUUUAUGACACACCUUGACCGGAAUCAGGGCAUGUUGGCGGUCACGUGAGAGUGACGUAACCAUGUGCACAGUGUGAAAACAAUAAAGAUAAAAGGGAAUUGAGAAGGAAUAAAAACCAAACUACUAGCAGAACUAGUUAAGAUAGAGUGCUAGUGAGAGAUUAAGUGUGAAAUACACAACCAGAGCAUAAAUAGUCUAAGUGCAGUCAAGUAGUACAAGUACUAAUAAUACAACACUUGAGGGUGAUCCUACAUGGUGAUGUUCUGUCAAAACCCCCAUCAGAAUCCUCGUGAUCCACCAAAGCACUUCUACUUAAAACCUGGAGGGACGCAAAACAAAAAGUGUGAGUGGGCAAAAACAAAGCUUUUCAAAAUCAUUUCAUUUCUCAAAAGUUCUAACCCCUCGCCGUAAAACCUGUAUAAUUUCCCAUAAAAUAAUACUAAUAAUAAGCUGUAUCCAAAAUAAUACUCAAGAUGAAAAUCCACCAAAGUAUACCAUGCCAAAGUAUCUCAAUGCAAUGCUAUAGGUAAACUAGGCAAAAUAUCGCAUUAGCCAAAUCUCUCUAACUCAAACUGCACUAUUGAGUAUAUAGCUCAUAAUCAAUCUCAAUCAUAUCAAAUCAAAUCCAUUUCCUGCACACGAGUCAUAACCACCUAAAGUAGUCUGUAUUACAAGACUAGGUGUAAAAUAAACAUGUUUUAGUGCUACGAUCGCGUAAAGACUCUGCGAAUGAUCGUGGGUCACCUACGAGUCGAAACCACCUAAAGUGGUAUGUACGACAAGCCUGUGCACCUAACUUGGAUCCAAGAUAAGCAUACGGUGCGGGAGGUGAACAUCACAUGAAAGACUGUGCCCUAACUCUGGGCGGGAGCACUAACACCGGGUGCAAGUUUAUGAGCUUUCAUCACAUCGCAUCAUAACUCGCAUAACUGAAUUAAUCUCACAUCUUUAAUUUAUAAACUUACCUGGCACGUACCUGUGCGUCCACAGCACCAAUCAUAAUUAUAUGCAACUACUAAUGCAUAAAUAAAAUAGGCAAAUACUUUGCAUGGCAUUUCAAAAUGUAUAAUCAUUCAAAUUCAUUUUUUGGGAAAAAUCUCAAGUAUAUAGGUUUACACGGAAAACCAAAAGCCCACUCACUGGUAUGUUGAAGGGUCGUAGCACCCGAACCUCGAUUAAUGGCGCUCGUCCUUAGGAUAAGUCUCAUCUAUAUGCGAAAUAACUGAAUAAACGUUAUUUAAAGCACAUACACAAAAAUAGGAAAUAUCUUCUCAUACAUUGCCAAAUGAGGUAUAUAAAUAUACCAUCGUGACCUACACAACUCCAUGAACAUCCCCAAAUUUGUAGAAAACUUUUUGGAGUUGUCACGCUCCAACGAGGGCACGGCACUAUGCGCCCCCGCUCGCAACCAACCUUGACGAAACCCUAUCUACCGUUAGGAAUAUUUCGUUAAAAUCAACCAAUGUCGUUAAUCACCGUUAGGAAUAUUUCGUCGUCUCCUACCUUCAAACUUCGGCGACCGUCACGGUCGCCGAAAACUGGAAAAACUUUAAAACCUUAUAACUUCUUCAUUUUUGUACCAAAUUUCACCAAAUUUAUAUCAAAUUGAAGCCUUGAAGGAGUAGAAUAAAACCUUACCACUUUUAGACCAUAAAACUCCAGGAACUCACUGAAAAAUAGCUCCGAUAAUCCAGCCAAACUUAAAACUCGCCAAUUUCACAUUCCCGACGUCCAAUUUACUUGAUUUUUCUUCUCCGAGCUUCGUAAUGAUGUUCUAAAGCUUCCUACAAGCUUCAAAUCUCUUGAAACAUCCAUAAUUACGACCACAUGAAUAGUACCCCCGAAUCGGGGAUUCUUAGUCCUCGUGAAAUCGAAGGUUUCACGUCUUAAAUUUAGUAUAAAUGAACUCAGAAGCUUGCAAGGAGUUCAAAAAUUACCUUAUUAACGUCGAUCCGUGCAUGAAAGCUUGAGUUCGAAGUUCGUCCGUACGGCUUGUACGGAAAAUGGAAAGAAGUAAGAGAGGGAGGAGAGAAAAAGAGCACGGGAGUGAUGUGUAUGUGUGCGAGUGAAUGUGUGGUCCAAGUUGGCAACAGCCACCAACCACAAACUAGGAAAGUUUAGUUCUAAUUGGUCCAAAAUAUUUAGAACUUAACAUAUUGGUCCACAACCCAAGUCUAAACCACACAACACAACUCAAAACGUCCAAGGGCAUAUUUGAAAUUUCAUGCCUAAAAAUAUAACAUUUCGGGGCGGGUUGUGACAGUUUAUUUAUGAGAUAUGACUAUUCCUUUUAUUUUUUUGUCAAACAAUAUAUUUUGUUAGAUUAGAUGUUUGAUUAGCCAUCGACAGAGUUUAAACCAACGCCGUCAUGCAAGGGCUCAACACUUUUCCACCACUGUGGUAAAGGGCCACUUGCAAGAUAUGAAUAUUCCUAGAUGUUUAUAUUUAGCUCUUUAAUUGUACUGAACUUAGUUGUGAUUCUCAAUUAAUCAUAUGCACUAGUUUAGUCACAUUGAUUAGAGUAAUGGGAUGAGGAUCCUCUUCGGAUCCUUACAUUCUAUCCCUUCUUCAUACAUUGUGUGACCAACUUUCUUUAGGUACUGUUGUGUUCAGGGACAGAGCUAAAAAUUUCUUUGGGUGGAGGCAACCCGAAAACAACUUAAAAAACCUUAAUACAGUAUAGUUUAUACCCAAUAUGAUAAUAAUGAGGAUUUCAAAUUAUGAUGUAUCACAAUUUCAAUGUUACAAAAAUUUCAAUAUAGUAUUGGAAAGUGGCAAAGUGAUGAGAAAAAUAUUAAUACAUGAUAGGCGAGAGGGGUUUUUCAGUUUAAAUAACAGAACAAGAUUACUUUUGCUCAUAUAAUAUUUGAUAUGAAGUAUAAGUAGUAUGAACGUAUGUUGAAUAUUAGAUACAUAUGUUUUCCUCAAAGAUAGCGCGUAUAUAUUAUAUAACUAUAGUCUGCAACUAAACAAAUAAAUUACUUGAGUGGGGACAUCUGCCUCAGUGAGCCUUCAUUGGCUCCGUCCAUAGUUGUGUUUAAUUUUAAAUAAAAUAUUAUAAAAAUAUUUUUUGACCUCACAAUGAACGAUGAGCGGAUAUGAUAUUUGGAUAUCUAGGAUCUUCACAAACAAGAUUCAGGAUUGAGAUCCAAAUCCAGAGUAGUGUGCCUUACUUUUUUGGGUGAAGUCGAUAAGUUCAAAAAAGAGGAAACAAAAUUUCAGUGGGGUGGGCCGCGUUUAUGUAAACACCCGCAACCGCAAGUGAUCUAAACCUUCUCCAACUUCCUCUAUAAAAUGCACGGGUUAUUCACUCGUUCUCAAACCCUCACUGCCUUUUGAAUUUCGGUAAACCCUAGCCGCUCCAUUUCUCUCUGAGGUAAACCCCAUCCCUAAACCCUAAUUCUCUCUCUCUCUCUCUCUCUCUCUCUCUCUCUCUCUCUGUAUGCUAUCGUAGUUUAUCAAUUCAUGGUUUGUAUGAUUUGUUUUGUUUCUCAUCUUUUUUAUUGAUUGUUUUUGUGGGAAAAUGAAUGUGUUUUGGGUUCUAUAGGCUAUGACCAGGAAGUUGUAUGACUCUGUGAUUUGGGUAGUUGAUUUUGUUUGUUUAGCUGCCGAUCUGCUUGAAGAAAAUGGUAGAAACCUAGACUCUGUUUUGUUUUUCAGUCAAGUAGACAAGAAGAAGGGGAAAAGGGAGGACUUGCACUUUCCACCCUUUUACAAUUUACAGAGAUAAAAAUGGUUAGGUGUGUCAAACUAUGGGGCUAAAGACUGUUUUCAUUACUUUCUCUAUAGAAUAAGACUGAGGUUGUGAGACCCAAAAUAUUUCAAAUGUGUUUGUGGUUCAUGUGGAAAUGUAAGACCCUUCUUUGUUUUCUUGAUGGGUUUCGUUCUGAUUCUCCGUCUUGUGAUUGUUAAAGAAAUAUGUCCAGGGUCACUUAAUAUGUUAGUAUACUUUUAUUUACCAUGUAGUGUUCUUUCCAAAUUUUGAUGCUUUGUAGUGGAGAAAAUAAUUUUUAGGGUCGAAUUGACUUGAUUUUGGGUUGAGUCAGCUAUAUUAUUUUAUGGUUUUGUAAGAUUUGCUGGUUAUUGAUGUGCCCUUCUUGUCAGUGGAUGUGCAUUCAUAUUCAGCCCUUUGUGAUACUGUUAAGUUGUUUUUAUAGUCAAUAUCUGUUGUAUUGAGCGAGCUUUUUGUUAUGGUUUCACACAAUUUUGCAUGUUUGCUUUGGCACACACAUAUAUACUAAUUUUAUUUCCGAUGCGUAACUAUUGCGGCAUCUAACAAUCUACGUAUGGAAUUUGUGUUGCUUCUGUUGGAUUAAUGGUUACAGUGGGAAUUAUUUCUGGUGCAGGCUUGUGUUUUCUGAAAACUGUGAUCUUUCGAAAUGGCGUUCUGUAACAAAAUUGGGAGCCUCCUGAAGCACAACAUUUCCCAGACUGGACAAGCACCCAUGACAGCAAUGCUUAAUUCUGUGCGCUGCAUGUCUUCCAAGCUUUUCGUUGGAGGUAUAUUAUUUGACAAUGUUGAUUUAUGACGUCAACUUACAGACACAGCAGCUUUGUCAUUGACAUUUUGAUUUAAAUUGUUGCUUGUUAGGCCUUUCAUUUGGAACUAAUGAUGAGUCUCUUAAGGAGGCAUUCUCAAGCUUUGGUGACGUGACUGAGGGUAAGUUACUAAAGUGGUUUGUUAGUUAUUGUCUGCUUACUGAAAGGCCUCCAUUUUUACCAUAACGUAUAUGUACUUUCAGUUUCUUCAUUGUCACUACACUUAGUUUUGGUAGAGCAUUAUUCUUUCUAUCCUUUGUUAUAUGAUACUUCACAGUAAAGGGUUAGGCAAAUGAAAGUUUGUUUAUCUUGGUUCUUUUUUUAUUUAUUUAUUUAUAUAUAACACCAAAAUUUUAUUGAGGGUCUCUUGGUUUUCAAUUGUUAUUAUUAUUGGUUCUAUGAUGCUUAGUUUGAGAUCUAUUAAUGAUCUCCAUCAGGAAGCUUUUCUUUGCUUUUGCAAUGCAUAGUUGGAUCGCUGCUUUUGCCAGUUGUCUUUUAUAUUCUUUUGGUUCACUAAAACGAGUUUUGUGUUUUUGAUUUUCUGCAUGUUGAGUAAUGGGAAUAGGCUGUCCGGCACUGAAUAAAAUAAAUGGUCACCAUAUGAUGCUGAUGUUUGUUUGUUUACUUCCUCCUGUCCUCCCUCUCUUUGCGAUAUCACUACCGAAGUUUCCUUGAGUGCUUGUAAGCUUAGUUAGGCGUCUUUUGAUCUGUUGUUCGAUUCUCUAAGUAUUGGAAUUAACAAUUGAAUUUUGUAUGUGCAGCAAGAGUUAUCACGGACAGGGAUACUGGAAGGUCUAGGGGUUUUGGAUUUGUUAACUUUGCCAGUGAUGAUUCUGCCAGUUCAGCACUUUCUUCCAUGGAUGGCCAGGUCAGAAUUUGAAUUUUAUCAUUGAGGGGCCAUGAAUAUAUCUGGGUGAUAUGGUCCCCUGUAAGAUGUUAGUUUUGUCUUGUAAUGAUCUUCUUGUGACUAUGGACUUGUUUGUAUUUCAGGAUUUGCAUGGGCGAAACAUUCGUGUCAGUUAUGCCACUGAGCGAACUGGUCCUAGACCAUUUAACGGUGGUGGCGGAGGGGGGUGAUUACCGUGGCGGCUAUUAAACAAUUGCUUGGUAAACAAAGAAAGUGGAUUUUAGGCUGUAGCCACAAGUCCCGUCUAAAUGCUUUUCUAUGUUUAGUCCUAGAAGUGGCGUUGUUUCGUCAUUUGGAUUUAUUAGCUUAAUUCCGGGAUUCUAGUUGUGCUGGUUAUGGUUUUCAUAUGUAGUCGGCUGUGGAGAUUGGCAGUAAAGCUUUUCAUUUGCAUGAUAUCCAGCAUUGUUGCUGAAUAUACGUCUCUGAAGGAUUUUAGUAAGAUUUCUACCGCUUUGUUUGAGCUCUAACCGUGUUUUCAUCGCGAUGCAUGCUUUGUUCUUAUGUUGGCUUUGGUAUUUGCAAAUGUUGAUCAGUGCGUACUGUGUUUCCACAUAAGUCGGGUGUUCGAGUGACACGCAUCCGUUAGUUCCUACUUUCCCUUCGUUUUCCUCUUUUGAUGUGUCCAUUCAUUGUGCUUGUUCCGUUUCAUUUCUCUGUGACGAGAAACUAAAUGCGGAUGAAUUGUGGUUAGAGGUGUAAUGAAACACUCGAACCCGAACUAGCUAGUUCUUUGCAACAUGUUUUGAAGCAAAGAAAUACUAAGGCCAUCUCCAACCAAAGGCUGGUCAGAAGGUUUGUUUUAGCCAUUUGGUCAUUCAAGAUAUUAAUAUUUUAAUAAAUAGUAUAUGGUCAUAUUUACUUCCAUCUCCAACCGAGGGUCAAAGGGGGUUAUAGGGUCAAAUAUAAUUUAUUAUUUAAAAACUACAACUUAAAUUCAAAUCAAACGGUUAAGUGAUGUUAGCAUGAAAAAAAAAUGAAGUGAGAUAGUAUGGAAUGAUGAAAAUUAUGUGAGGAAUGAUGAAAAUUAUGUGAGAAAUGAUGUAGGAAUGACAUAGAUAUUUAAAUGAUGUAGGAAUGGCUUUAGGUGUUUAUGAAUGGCUUAGGAAAAAAAAGGGAAUUUUUAAAUUUUCAUAAACAAAAAUUUGGCCAAAAAAAAACAUUUGAAUCCAACUGUAACUAGCUGUUGAAUUUCAAAUUUUGGCAACCAUUCUUGUUGGUUAUAUUUGAUAGGAAUAAGUACUAUUACUGUCCGUUAUAUCGAUAUAAUUAAUCAAAAUUUUGGCCGAGCCCGGGGCUGGCUUGAUUCAGCCAGUCGGUUGGCCUUUCGGCCCUUUCAGAUUCUGUGGGGCCCACGAGCCAUCUGGCCUAACCUUCGGUUGGAAACGAUUUUCGGGCAAUUUUCAGCCCUCUAGCUAUCUGAACCAUUCGGUUGAAGAUGACCUAGGAGGCAAGACAACAACAAAUGGACCUUCAUUAAAUGUUGUUUCCUUGUUUGCUUAGGCUUUUGUUUUUCUUGUUUGUUGGGCCUCACUUGUUUGUGUUUCUGUUGGGCAUCGUUGUUUUCUAGGUGAGUUGUGUUUCUUUUGAGCUCUCGUUAGUACUAAAUUUUCUCUAUUUCACAUUUUACGUUAUGGAUUUGAAUUUCAUAUGGAUUUAAAUUGUAGAGAUUCUAAGGAUCCUUACAUCUUAACUAUUCAUCGUGCAUCGUGUGAUUAGAAAUCAUUUGAUUUUUUUAUUUAAAAUUAAAUGCAAAUAGUACUUAACGAAAAUUGAUCGCACGAUGUACGAUGAACGGUUAAAUGAUCUAUCAGUUCUUAUUCAUCUAACAAGAGUAGUUAGAUAUUGUUCGGUUAAAUCUUGUUCGGUUAAAUGAUCUAUCAGUUCUUAUUCAUAUGUGUAAUUUAAAUGUGCACUUUUAAUGUGAACUUGAGAAGGACCUGGGUUGUCUGCCCUCCCCAUCCCAUACCCUUCACAUCCCCUUCUAUUUCUGUGGUUACGGUUAAGCCAUGUCAACAUUUUAUAUUGAUUUUUUUUAUAAAAAUAAUAAGACAAAAAACAAUGAGAAUAUAAAAAUAUUGAGAGAAUUAACAGUAACCACAUAAAUAGGAGGGGAUGAGAAGGGUAUGAGAUAGGGGAGGACAGACAAUCAGGUCCACUUGAGAAAGCCUCUGUGGGUACAACGUAUUCUGGUAUAUAAUUACUUUGUUUUAACACCUUUUAAUUUGUUGGACCCUUUUAAUAUAUAUAUAUAAUUUUUUUUUUUUUUUUUUUUUUGUGGUUGUGAGAAGAAUAACAUGGUGUUUGGAGGAGGGUCAUAAUCCCACAUAAUUACGCAGUUAAUUGUGUCGAAACAAACAAAGCUGCUUUCCCUUUCUCCUUUACUUUUUGCCCUUUUCAUGCUAAUCUGUGCACACAAAUUUGAUUUAUAAAUUCCACGUCCUUCCGCUUUGAUUAGAUAGAGAUUCUAUCAAGAUCUAAAAUUGAAGGAUCAGAUAAUCUAAACUACUCAAAUUUAAUUCGAUGAUCACCAUUAACCUUUUUUUGUUGACCCACCUUGUACAAACAAGUACUCUGAUUUCUCAUUCACGUAAACUAGGACACCAAAUUUUUUGGUACUUAGGUCCGGACACUAGGUCCAGAAAAUAUCCAAAUUCGCUUUCCCCAGGUCAUUUCCUUGUAUGAUCAUAUCAAUGACAAUUGGGAUGUAUUCACAGUAUUUGAAGAUAAUUUUAUGAGGUGAUUUGAAGAUUAAUUUAUAAUUUCGUAUUUGUUUUGACGAUAAUGAUUUUGUCUCAAGUGCAUUUACAUAUUUUACAUAACACCUUUUCUUUUAUUACGGUUGCAAAAAUUAAUUAUUAUGUGAAAAUCAAAGACUUUUUUCAAGGCACUUCUCGACGAAAAAAUCGCUACUACACAAGUACGAUUUAAUCCACGAUUUUCUAACGUGGUGUUUAUCUUUGGUUGGUUGUGCCAAAAAAGCUCCAUGUGGAAUGAUAUAGGAGUGUAACCUGGACGACUUAGAUGGUCAACCUAAAUUUAAAGCAAUAUUCACAAUUUGGAUUUGCAUUGGGUUCGGGGCAUACUUGGAUUGGGUUUGAGUUUGCUCAAUUUUAUCGAGUUCAAUCUUUUAACACCUUAUAUUGUAAGAUUUUUCAACUUUUGAAGUGGAGAUCAUUUUUAAUUUUCAUCCAUGUGAAGCUAAAUAAAAUUACAAGAGAAAGCCAAAGUUUCAACAAAAAAAAACAUAAAAACAACAUUAUUAUUCAUUGUUCAAAAGAAAUCUAACAACAAACUUCAAGUAUAGCCAUCUCAAAACUUGUAUCUAACUCAUAUAAUAUAAAGUUGGAUGGGUAAUAUUCGCAUGAGCAAAUUUGGGAUAAAAUAGGGUUCGGUUUGAGUUGACAUGGGUGGGCAUCAACCCAAUCAAGUUGAAUAAUUGAUUUAUUAAGGUCAUGUUGAGUUUGGGUUGACAUGGGAGGGCAAGACAUCAACCCAAUCCAACUGAAUCAAUCAUCAGGUUGAGGUUGAGUUCUGUUUGGACGAGUUGUUACUUCAUUCUAACCAGCCAAAUCGGAUUUGAAAUCGUGUUGGGUAUGGACGGAUUUGGGUUGACCUAACCCAAGUGCACCCCUAGUAUGACAGGUUGAUUCUCAAUGCUCCACUUUUAUACCAUGCUUGGGCAUGAACUAUUUUAGAUUUUUUUAGAGGUCGAACCUCACUUAGUUUAGGUUUUUCUUCCUCAUUUAUAGGGAUGGACACGGUUUAAUUUAGUUUGCUUUAACUCCUAAAAUAUAGAAUUGAACCGAAUGUAUAUAGCUUAGUUUGGUCCAAUCAUUGAGAGGGGCAGAGAGGAAAACAUGGAGAGGUACAAGGGAUGACGAGAGGAAAAGGGAGAGAUUGGAAGAGGAGAAAGAGGUGGAAAAAGAGGAGAGGAAGAGGGGAGAUAGAAUUGGAUGGAGAGAGAGGACAAGAAAGAAGAACAUAAGAGAUCAUGUGCAACUAGAUCUACAAUUUCUUUGGAAUGUUUUAUAAGAAAAAAAAAGUGUAAAAGUAAACAAAAGAAAUUAUACAAUUGGUCCGAUUUGGUUUUUAGGUAGCAAAAUUGAGAAUUGUAUAAGACCAAAAGCUUUUCUUUUGGUUUGGAUAGGCUUAAUUACUCAUUGUGCUGAUUCAAAUGCACACAACUCGAACAAGAGCAAUGUUGAGGCGACUAAAUUUGUAGACAAAAUGAUAUAGAAGUUGAUGAUUUGAUUAUAACUUAAUUGUUGAUAAAUGUGUUCAUUUCCUAUUGGUGGCACAUUAUUUAGUUUGCAACUUUGUUUACAAAUUUAAUCUCCCUAACAUUAUUCCUCGAACAACGUUUGCCCCAUUUUGGCUAAAUCUACAAGUGACACGGGCAAGACGUUUUCUUUUACAAGAAGCGAUAGUAAUUUUCAUUAACACACAAUAACACAAUCACAAACACACGAUAACAUAGUUAUAUGGGUUGCCGUACGAGUACCUAUACAUAAAUGUAGAGAUAAUUUGCAAAAUUAGCAUAACAGUAAACUCCUAAUGGCCAUCACAAGAACAAGCAACUCCGUACCAGCACAAGCACUCCGGUACAAAUCCGUCACAAAGACACAGACACAGCAAGCCUAUACUAAGGCACAUGCAAUGUCAUUGUUGGCAAGCUAGACUAUAAAAAUCAUUACUGACGAGCGAGACCGCAAAAACCAUCGCUGCUAAGCAAGACUAUAUCACUCACUAAGUGAGACAUCACCGCUAAAGGUGGUACAUACGAAACAAACACUAAUCUGAGAACGGAGUUCACCAACGUCUCAUCUCCACUAGUUUGGUCCUCUCCACGUGAGAUGAUGAUGUAUCUGUAAGAUCUGCCGCUACCUCAAGCAAGGCGAAGCUGCCACAUAAGCUUUAAAAAGAGUUUUGGGUGGAGCUGAAUAGCUUUGGUGGGUUUGAUUAAAGUAUCACUUGAAGUUUGUAAUCGUAGAGAUUGAAUUUGAUGAAGGUCCUCAGCUUGGAGAUCUGUACCUCUAUAUUUAUAGGCGUUUAGAGAAGCAUUUUUGAUCUUAUCGCUGAGCUAGAGUGAGAGUAGAUCGGCCAUUGACAAUGACAAUAACUGCAUUUCAUGGUUGGUGGCCUCCUUUGCUUUUUUUGGCCCUCAUAAGAUGUUAUGUUGUCGUUUGAUGUAUAUGGUGACGCGUUCACCCAGUCAUUUAAGGAGUUGUGAGAUUUUCGGGCUUGGUUGCUUACGUGCAAGACGCUCUUCAGGAGAAGAUGAGUCCAAACCCCCAAAGGAUUGUCAUGUGCUGGGAAGGGGUCAUCCCGAGCCUUAGUGAGCCUACUCGAGUUGGGCUGUUGUUGGUGGGGCCGGUGCGCCUUUGCUUAAAUAAAAUUUGAUUGGCCAUAUAGUAGGUCUUAUUUUUAUUUAUGGAAAUAGAUCAUUUCCGAAUAUCUUCUUCUUAAUCCAUCAAAUUCGGAGAUCCAGACCAUUGAAAUUUGAUCCAACAGUUACAAAUAGAGGUCCACUUUAAAAGAUAUAAUAACUUUAGUCGUUUGAUCAAAUUUCAAUGGUCUGGAUCUCCGAACUUGGUAGAUUAAGAGGAAGGGAUCCGGAGAGGAUCCCUUUCCUUUAUUUAUGACCCAAACACGUUGACAUCUAUCUUGAGUGAAAAUAAAGAAAAAUAAAAAGUUGCUAAUGGGAGGCAUUGAAAAUGUUUGAAGGCAUCCGAAAUAUUCUGACUUUUAAAUGAAGCAUGCUAGUAAACCCAUUAUAGGUAGGAAAGCAUAAACAAGACCUCAUGCUAGUAUAUCACAGACUUGUGCUUUUCAAUGGCUGACGAAAUAUUUGCUAUUAAGAUAUAGAAUUUUAGAUGUUACUUAGUACUAUGGUCUAAUGAUAUUCCUCUUCACUUAUAAGUGAGAGGUUUUAGGUUCGAUUCUCGUCAAAGGUGAAUUUGAACCACAUUAUUAUUAGCACAUUGUGAGGCUAGCCCGCCGCCUCUUUUUUAGUGUAGAUAAUAUCAUUUGUUCAAAAAAUAUAUGUAUAGAAUUUCAAAUAAAUUUUUGUAUUUUAUAUAUUCAAAAAAUUAAUUUAAAAUGUCAAUUACAAGGUUUCAUUCCUAAAUCCUAAUUACACUGAGAUCUUUUAGGAUAAUACUUUACUCACGGUGUGCUAAAAGUUGAUCAAGUUCAGAAUAAUAUCUAUUUUAGAGCCCAUCUCACUGAAAUUUUGACAUAUCCAUACUUCUUUGGUGAUUUAAAUGAUAAUUAACUUAAAGCUCAGUAUUUCAAACUGAAUAAUAAAUAUAAUCAAAGAGAAAUGAAAGGGGGACUCUCUUAAAAUGAGACAUCUCCAUGAAAUCUCUGUCACCUCACAUGUUAACGUUAAUUCUCAUACCAACGUUAUAAAACAUUGUGACAACAUUAACAUUUCUCAUAAUCAAAUUAGCAAAAGCAUUAAGCAAUGUCUUACUUACCGGGGAAGUCAACAUGUUAAACCUCAUCUCUCUCAUCACAAAAUUCCCUUAGAUUCUAAAACUAGAUCUACACUAUUCAUUGACCUUGAAAAUGAUAGAAAUCCAAAUAAUUUUAUUUGAAAGUGACCUGGCUUUCUUCCUCAGUUAAAUCAUUACAAAGAUUUUGGAAAAAAAAAAAAAAAAACUAAACUAAACUAAUGAAGGGGAUAACGAAAAGACCAGAAGCCAAUGGUGUUUUGUGUUGACAUUAAGCUCAGCAGCCAAGGAGACAUUCCUAACAAAAAAGAGGAGUUUUUCUUCAAAACACACCAUGAUCGAUUUACGAAAUUUCAUACUUAUGAUCAAACGUUAAUAUUAUAAAUCACUUUAUAAAUUUUUUUUGUAAAAAUCUAAUAAAAUAUGAGAUCAUUUAGUCUCAAACUAUAUAAAAAUAAAUGGACAAAUUUAAUUAAAAUAUUAUAAACUAUCUAUCUAUUUACUAUAAGAAUUGAUUAAACGACUAUAGUUUUAAUUGAUUUUUUUGCAUAAAUAAUUUUUACAAAGUAAUUGAUAAUAUAAACGAUUUUAAUCAUAUGUGAGGAGUUCUAAACCCUAAGCCAAGUAUUCCUCUAUAUUUUUUUGCCACCAACCAUUUCUUCAACCUUUUAUUACCUUUUUGGGGAAUUGAACUUCAACCUUAAUAAAAAUUAGAAUGACAAAAUGUCUGUACAUAGUAAUGGAGGCAAACAGGUGCUACUUACGGGAGACAUUAUUAUAACCGCAUUGCAUGGUAUAUGAACUCAUUCCAUGGAUUCCUCCACACCAAGCGGGCUCAAAACCAGAUUGGAAUGGAUGACACAGUUUCAGCAAUUUAAAUAUUUGGUGUUUCGAGUAAUCCAUUAUAUAUUUUUACUUAUAAAGUAUUACUUUAGAGAGGUUUUAUUGUAUUAUAUAUAAUGCAGAUGACGUUUACCGCACCGGCAAAAAAGCAAUCAUGCAUAUGCAUCCUAAUGCGGGUUUCAUCUUCACCGAUUCCUCUUUCCCCGUAACAACUAACAACUAAUGUUAACCCUAAACCAUUAAUCCAAGGGUUCUAUGAUAUCAUAUUUGGGGUUUUGGUAGAUAUAAUAUUUGAGAGAAGUCCCAAAAGAUAGACGGUUCGGUGAAAUAACUUACGAAGUGAGCCCACAAAAACUUAUGUAAAAAGUAGUGUCGCGGAUUCAUCCCAUUAUAUAUAAUGAAUUUUGAGUCUUUCAGAAUAUUCAAUAUAUUGAAUCGUCUUAUUCAUAUUAGAUAUGUAUAUCAAUGCUUCUAAACCAAAAUUCUAUUGACUAUCAAAGUCAAAUUAGUUUAUCCAUAAUUAAGGUUAUUACACAUCUUUUGCAAGUGUUGAGGCUGUAAUGAUUUAGUUUAUUCAUAAACUAUACUUAUCCGGUCGUUGGUAUUAUUUAAUUAAUCAAAAGUCAUCCUAUUUAUUGAAUAAGUCUCUUAUAAUUAGGUUACAGAUCCAUUGCUGGGGUUCCCAUUGACUUGGUCAUCGUGGUUUAUUAACCAACGAUUCAUGUGUUGACCAAUUUGGAGAGAUGGAAAGAAUUAGAUGAAAUCAUCAGUCUCACUUAGGCUAAGCUGUACCAAGAAAUCCAAGUUUCGUGAUAUAUAUAUGUAUGUAUAUUCCACUAACUUACACCCUCAACUGUCAAAUAACUGAGAAUCAUUGACCCGAAAGGGUCCGAACAAUCCUUAAAAAAUAAGGUUUUUGGAACUGGAUCUAACUGCCUUAUGUCAAAAAAGCUCAUUGAGUGAUGGCUCAUGUAUAGAAGAAGAAGAAAUUUACUGUCAACAAACCCUAGCUUGAUUAUAGUGGUGUGGUGUGGGAUUAAUGGAUGCCAAGACUAAGAGUAAGUGGAGUCAGGUUGAUGGAUGUUAAGAGUAGAAAUAUACGUCCUCUUUUGGCUUCUACAAAAGGUUUAGUUGUCACAUAUAUAUUGUAUUUUUUAUGCCAAAUAGUUACAAAUUAUUAUUAUUUUUUUAAAUAAAAGGUGGCAUAUGUUUCAUUCAAAGCCAGGCAAAGGCUAGACAAUACAAGGAAAAGAGGCAUCGUCCUCAAGAAUGGAGUGUAAAACGACAAGUCGAUGUACAACAGUAUUUGUUUGGCGGCAGAAUGUGUAAGUUGUCUUCUAAUUUGGAGGAAGAAUAUGGAAGUUGUCUUCUAACAUUGAGGAUUGAGAUGGAGUAUUCUGAGCAAGUUGAUGCAAAGAACUUAUCCUCACUAAUCCCACCGUUUUCAAAGGGAGAAUAUGGUUCUUUAGAUCAUAUGAAAGAAGUAAAACCAUCGAUAUUGACGGAAAAUUUAAGGAUUUCAUUGCGGUUUGACUGAAUACAUUAGGAAUGUCAUUUUGUUUUCGAAUUGAAUGUAACAUGUCACAUUUCCAUGAACCUGCUUGGCAAACUUGGUGCAUUCUCAAGAAUGUACUUACCAACAUAAAAUAUAUUUCUCACUUAGUCUCAUACAAUUAAUUCGUGAAUAUAAGUAAAAUAAAAAUGCUACUCUUAUCAUAUUAAGGCUUUUUAGCUAAAAUAGUCAUUGAAAUUGACAUAACUUCUUAUUUUAGUCCAUAAGAUUUGAAAUCGAUAACAGUAAUCCAUGAGUUUGUCCAUCAUUUGAUGGUGAACAAAUUUAGAUACCACUUCUAUUAAUUUCAAAUCUCGAAACAAAAAUAAAGAAGUUACAAUAAUAUCAGAGAUUAUUUUAACUUAAAAAAAACUGUAUAUUUACCAUACUUUAUUUGUUUAAUUUCUCUAAUAAAGCAAGAUUCACAUAUAUUGUUUGGUCUUACCUCUGUUAUAAACUUCUCCAAAGAAACAAAAAGUACUGCACCUCCUGGAAUGCACGGUCAAAUGACAGGCGGGGGUGUCAGUAAGUGCAGGAAAAAAGUUCUUGAUUGUUCCUCAAAGUAUUAUCAAAUGCUUCUUUUCGUUCCUACUUCUGCGAUUCUCAAUCAUAUAGUGAUUGUUACGUUAAAAUGGACAACACAUGUCAAUGAUAUACAAUUUGUACAUUACGAGUUCACAGUCAUCGUGACAUCUCGUACUAAUAACACAAGAACAAGAGAAAAAAAGUUAACACAUAUUCUUAUAUUAUUACCAUGGGGCGCUACAUGUUUAUGCAUCUGUGUCAUGUAAGUCAUUUUUAAAUAAAUGCAUACUUUGUAUAAAACGGAUUUACCACUGUAAUUUUUGUUCAAUAAUAUAAUAUCAUGUUGAUAAAAACUUGCUCACAAUAUAAUUUUAUUAGAGUAGGAUAUCAUAGUGUGAAUCCGUUUAAUAUAAAUCUUCUUUGGAAGAGUACUUAGGGAUUAGUGUUGGCAUGAGAUGGUUGAAUGACCAAAACGUAGAACCUUGAGUAUUGGCUGACCUGAAACUUCUAGCGUCCAUUGAAGUCGAUGUGGAGAGUUAGAAGUCUGCAGGAAGCAACUUUGACCGCCAAUAGUCUUCUACAAUGCACUCACCCUUGUCAACUCACUCAAUGGAAAGUCUAUUAUACGUAAUCAGUGUUGGUGAAUAGUAUCAAGACGUUAAUAACAUUAACUUGCACUUUAAAACACAACAAUCAACGAAGUAAUUAUGUGAUUUCAUGUAAUCGUGGUAUUAGACCCUAAUUACAUUUUCAUGAUUUGUAGGAUAUUUUAAGGUUAAUUUAUGUUUGAAUUCAAAUCCAAUAAUUAGUAGAUAGAACUCUUUCUCAAGAAGCCAAUAACAACAUUAUAUUCUUAUCAAAAGCAAAAAGAAAAAGGAAAUUACUUUACAGGUCUUCAUUUCAACUCAAUAAUUUUGAUGCUGCCACAUGGAUGGGGAAGAACUAAAAAAACAAAAUAAAAUUUCAGACUCAAUUUAAAAAAAAAAAAAAACCUUGAUGCCAUGGCUAAUAUCUAGAAUAUCCGAUUUUUAAUAAAAAAUAAAUUAGUUAUGUAGGGAACACGAGUUGAAUAAGCAUGUAUAACUUGUGUGGCUGAGUAUUUCUCACCGACAGAUCUUAAACCCACUUCGGUGAAAAUUUUCUUGGUCAAAAACCAAUUAAAUUAACCAUGUGCACUUGUAUGCUAGCACUUAGGUUUGGCAAUUUCUUACGCUAUCUAUUAAUUCAACACAAAAUGAUAUGAAAAGAAUGAGUUUCGAGCCAAUUUGUGACUCGGAUUGUUAUUGGAUAAUCUGUUAAUGUGUCAGGUCGUUAUUGGGUUAUCCGUUAAGAACUCAAUAAGAUAUCGUUUGCCAGAUCUCUAGACAUUAGAUAUAACAAUUUCUUGCAUGAUCCAUUAACCCGAAACGACACGACCCAUUAACAUGUCGGGUUGUUAUUGGGUUACCUGUUAAGAACCCGUUAAUUUUACUGGGUUUGACACAACACGAUCCGUUAAAAUAAUAGAUAUGAUAAGAAAACGACAAACACGACCCGUUUGUCAGGCUUACUAGCACUAUGUGAUCAUGACUAUAACCAUAGCGAUUUUGGCAUUUUCAAUUUAGCUUGUUUUGAACCAAUAUAAUAAACUUAAGUUUACUAUUGGAAGUGCAAGUUGCCAAACGGGAGUGCCAAAAUUACCACGCAAUAGAAAUACAACUAUUUGUACCAUAUCAAUAAGGUACAAUGUUCUAAAAAUCCCCACCUAGUGUUGCCUAGGCGCUAGGCAGCUAGCCACCGUUUCGAUUAAUGUCUAGACGUUUAAAAAUUAAGAAAGGGUGCCUAGACCGCCUAGGCACUUGCCUAACCCGCCCAGACCCGUCUAGGUUGCGACUCACAUAAAAUAGAUAACUUUCAUUUUGCAUUUUUUUUCAAUCAAUUGUGAGAGACUUGUUGAAUACUUAAUUGAACACACAUUAUAUGUUUGUUCCCUAUAUUUUUAGUGUGUUCCAAUGCUUCAUAAUAUAUAUGUCGUUCUAUUUUGUAAUUUAUAAUGAAAUUAUAUUAUUUUAAGUAUAAACAAACACUUAUUUACACGAAAUAUAAUAGAUUUAAUUAAAUCCGCCUAGUUCGACUGGGCACAUUCCUUGGCCCCAUCUAGUCAUUAGGCCCCAACCUACCACCCAACUAAUGCUUAACGUCUUUUAGAACCUUGAUAAGAUAGUGUUGAAGAAAUACUUGUAGCUUUAUUUUCAUUGUUUUUAAGCCUUUUAUACUUUGUCGUCAAGCUGGUACCUUUUGCGCAAUUCAUUUCUGAUGUCCCAAAAUUCCUUUUCCUAAUUAGAAUUUAGAAGCCUUUACUUUCCAAUUUGUUUAUUCUUUUACACAUGUAAUAACCAACAUGAUUAGGGAAUAUAUUGCGCCCUUUCUUCUUUUUGACCUCUUUUGAUAAUCUUGUUUUUACUAGUCGAAUCAACCGGACUGUUCGAUUCACGUCAAAAAAAAGAGAGGUCCCUUUGCAUUUGAGUAACGAUAAAUUUUUCUUUUGCUGCAAAGUCUCCCAAAUUAAUCAACAAGAGUUGUAGAGAGACAUCCCUACCCCUCUUUCAUUAUUGAUGAUCAUCUCCAAAGCAAAACUAAUUAAGACCUCCCCUCCACUUGCAACCCACAAAACUGAGAGAUUUUCAAUAUGACUGAAUCACAGGACGGUACGUCAUAUGUUAUUAAACAAGUAGAGUGACAAGUUUUUCUCCAAAUACCCUUCAACUGGUGUAAUGACAUAUGAUUAUGUGGCCCUGUUCCAGACACAAUAAAAAGUCUGGCCACAAAACCAAAGCCAAAUGAUACAUGAUGAGCACCAAAGAAACAAUAAAAGCAAGAGAAUAGUUAAACAAGUUAAUAAUUGAAUCAGAUAAACAAAUAACAUUAAAAAAUUAAGAAAAAAAGAAAAGAAAAGAAGAAGCAAAGGCAAAGAAGAUUCUUGAUGUCAUUGUUUCUUGUUACAAUCACAAAUUUCUUUAUACCAAAUCCAAUGGCUGAGAUCUACAACCUUUCCAGUAGACCCCACCACACAUUAUUACAACCCUCCUCCCCCCAUGUUUCCAGAUCUACACCUUCCCCCAUAUUUUUCCUAACCAUUUUUAUCUUCUUCUUCUUCUUCUUCUAUAUGAAAUUAUAUAUGAUACAUCAAGGACAGCUGCAACAUUUUGGAUCCAAUUACACCCAGGACCACACACCCAAAUAACUUUAAAAAAAAGUCCAAAAAAAAAACAAGUAAAAACGGAAUUUAAUUCAACAAAAAAUUUAGACAAAAGGCCAUGUGAUCAGU